Molecule: long non-coding RNA, 46543 nt
Filed under: Citrus maxima (pomelo)
Lineage: Eukaryota; Viridiplantae; Streptophyta; Magnoliopsida; Sapindales; Rutaceae
Description: long non-coding RNA (CMAX_LNC001511)
Source: RNAcentral
AAACGAUAUUAGAAUCCCAGGUGAAAAGAACCCUCUCACACCAAUUAUUUAAAUUAGGAAUGAUCAUACCUCUGACUCUGCCGAACUGAGGGCGGGGUCUAAACCCACCAUAAAGAGACGCUUGAGAUGGGAAGAGCCCACUUUGACUAAUUCAUUACGAAAAUAAUCGACAUCUUGCUCUUGCAAUCCCCAUAACUCAAGGUCUUCAAUUCUCUGCAGUUGCACGAUCAGCGAAUCCUUCAAGCAAAUCUUGUUAUUUAGCUCGACUCUGAAUUCACGACACGGAAUGCUGGUGAUCCCCCAAUACUCAAGAUCUCCAAUGCGUAUGCUGUACCUUUCCAGCUUCUCCAAGAACAGGCCUCUGGGCAGAGUGCUGACGUCAUGGGUGUCUAAUUCCAAAGAGGUCAAGUUGGGCAAAUGCUUCAACUCCUCAAGGCUUGCAUUCUUAACCCCUUCCACCUCCACCUCCCAAGCAGCAAAGCUUCUAUGACUUAUAUAUAGUUCUUCUAAAUGGGAUAAUUUUGACAGUAUAUUUGGUGGAAUAACUUUUAGACACCAACAAUCCCUCAAAUCAAGCAACUUUAGCCAAGUCAAUUCACCUACUUCUACCGGCAACUUCUCAAUAUAAGAACUUCUUAAGCAAAGGAUUUCUAGUUUCUUCAAGUCUCCUACAACACUUAUAUCACGCAAGCUGCAGUCACACAAACUCAGUGUUCGAAGGUUUGACAGGAGACCAAGUGAUGAAGGCAGUGACCGUAGAUUCAUGCCAGUCAAGUUGACAACUCUGACCUGCAUCAUCCUCUCGAAAAAGUUGUUUGGAAUUGUUAAUGAUGAAAAUUCCCAACGAUCAGCACGUAUAAAAAGAAGUUCGAGCUGAGGACAUUCCAGUACUUCAGGAAGCAAAUUAUUCUUGAUAUGAUGUAAGACGAUUGAAGUGCAAUGCUUUAUUGCACUUCCGUCUAACCAUUCCCUGCAACCAUCAACCUGCUCAUUUGUAGCAGUAAACACAUUUCGUUCAGUAGAUGCAAUUAAUAUGGCGACAUCGCGAACUACAUCAUGCAUAGAAAGCAACUCUUUCUUCUGGCUUAUAUGGUCAAGCAACAAACAAGAAUCUUUGAGCUGGUGUACCAAUGUAUGUACUCGAUUUCGUGCUGCUUCCAUCUUAUUCACACCUUGAAAUAAAGUCAAUCCCAUACCAAACAUUAACAGUUCGUCAAUAGAUGCUAUGGCUGUAUAUCCUAUUAGCAAAAAGAUGUUCUUCAGCUCCUCCCCUACCAAUUUGUCGUAACUCCACUUUAUGGCUUCAUAUGCAUCUGGCUGUACAUCCUUAAAAUUCGAUGAAGAAGGCCUUCCUAGUUUUUCCAAUGCAUCCUUCCAUUCCUGUAUGCUCUUGUUCCUUAAUGCCCUUGCAACCGUCACAAUGGAAAGUGGUAGACCUGCACAUCCCUUUGCCACACCCCUUGCUACCGAUUGGAAUUCACUGCCUUCAAAAUAAUCACCUGCCAUCUUCUUGAAUAGAUUCCAAGCUUCUUCUUCGUUUAAAACACCAAUUGAGAAAUUUGGUCGAGAAUCCAUCUUCCUAGACAAUACAUCUAGACUUCUGGCCGUCAGCAAUACUUUACAACCUUUAUGACCAUCUCCAUGAGGAAUUCCGACAACCCGCAAAUCAAGAUUUUCCCAAAUGUUGUCUAAAAUUAUCAGGAUCUUCUUCUCUGCUUCUAUACGUUUAAAUAAGCUGUUUGCCCUUCCUGAUUCACUUUCCUCAUGAAACUUCAGGCCUAAUUUAUCUGCUAUUUCUCCUUGAAUCUCUCGUAUGUUUUUAUUAUGGGAUACCUCAUCUCCUUGAAUCUUUCGUAUGUUUUGAUUACGGGAUACCUCAACAAGAACUACCUGAUAAAAGAGUUCACUCUUGACUUUCCUAGCAACUUCUUCCGCCAGCUUCGUCUUUCCGAUUCCGCCCAUUCCAUAAAUCCCAAGCAUGUUGACAUUGGGAUUUUUUAAUGCAUCCAUUAUGUCAUUCAGAAUGGGCGCUCUUGAUACAAAGGCCUCGUAGUCUUUGUUAGGGAUAAGCCGAAUAUCCUCUGCAGCAGUACGGUAGGAAAUUCUAUCAAAUCUUCUAGCGUCCCGGACUUUGACAAUAGCCUCUUUCAACGUCACUGCUUCCUUGCUAAGUCGACGGCGGGUCUUCAAAUUAGGACACAACCCCUUGAAACAACGCUUAUUUGCUGCGGCUUCAACUUCUGUAAAUUUAUCUGCCUCUUCAAUGACUUUGUUGGCCCCUUCAAGCCAACUCCUAACGUUCUCUUCAAUUUCUUCCCCGUUUCGUUCAGCCUCAUCAACCUGGUGCUUUGUACUCACCCUCUGAGACUUCAGAUUGUCAACUUCAGUCUUGAGAUUCUGUAAGUUGCUCGUGUACUUACUCUCACGCAAAUAGCUAAUGCGGCGAUAUGCGGGAGGAACCAAGCACUUCACAACUUCUACAACAAUAGUAAGAAUGAAUUCAGCCAUCUUCAGUCCUUUGUCCUUGUCUCUCUAUCUCUCUUUUUCUGAAUUUUUGAAAAACAAUUGACUACUUAGGAAGCACACUGAGUGAUUGAACACAAGUGACCACAACAAGAUGGAACAAAAUAAAAAGGAAAAAAAAUACAAAGAGUGGAAGGAGAAUAAAACAGAGACAGCGGCACAGCUGGACACAACUAGAUAGAGAACAGAGCAAAACCAAAUAACAAGACUUAAGAUUACAACAAACAGAGGCCAAGUAUUAUUGUUGAGAUCAGAAGAUGGAAAAUUCAAAAGAGUUGAUGGCAGAUGCUGAAUAACAAAACAACAAUGAACGCAAUAAGCAGAAGCAAAGUGUGUUUGAAUGCAAAGAAAGACUGAUGUUGAAAAUUGAUGUCAAUAGCGAAGGAAUAAUUGAACUUUCGCUGAAUUAUUGUUUGUGGCCUUCUUUUACUUUUUAUUUGUGGGUCAUGUCUUUUGGAACUAAUCAUCUUAGGUUAUGCCUUAUAGCUUUAAGGCCGGUAAACCGGUGUCCGUUGGAUUAGCAUAUAGAAAUCCAACGGUGGAUAUAUAUACUUGGAGAAUAAAAUUCAAGAGCUAAGGGAGUGCUGGGCUGCAGUUUCUUAAGGAGAUUUAUAUAUCCUCCUCAAAAAUAAAUGUUUUAAGGUAGAUAUUUAGACUAUUUCAUCAUAAAAUAAAUGUAAUUAGUUUUCAAUAAAUAUCUUAUAUAAAUAUUUAUUUAUUUUUUUAAUUACUAAUGACCUUUGAAUAUACAUAUAUACAUAUCCCUAGUUCAAAAAAUAAAUUGUGAUUAUUUGUUCAUGUAUGCGAUUACUUGUGAUGGGAAAUAAAAUAGAUAUGGUAUAUUUUGAAGUUAAAUUAAAAAAAAAAAAAACAGAGCUUUUACCAUUACUUGCCUUAUCAUCUUUUAAAUUAGAGUUAUUAUUCUUUUAUUUUUCAAGUUGCCAACUCAUCCGCAUUUUUUUUUUAUUGAAUUUGAAGAUCAAUGAUUAUAAAUGUGUGUAAAAAUUUUAAGUCAAAACUUUAAAUAAUCUUUAAGUUAUUGGGAAAUAAUAACUUAGUAUAACAAAUAUUAUAUCCUAUACUUUAUUGCUACAAAAUUACGAAACCUUAUAUUAUAUUAUGUUUCCAUAUUUCUCCUUUAUAGUGAAGACUCAUACUUCUUCUCUAUUAAAUGCUAAAGUAUUGGCUUAAAUUUUUUAACCAGCACAGUAGACCCUUAAGCUAUAUAUACUAUAAUGUCCCUCUUCUCUCAUAGAUUAAACCAAUCUGAUCUCGGAGUGAGUUGAUACCAUGACUUUGCAUAAUUCGUGAUCAAAGGAGUAUCAUUACUAACUAAUAUAGGCUCCAUCAAUAGGCAUGAUAAUAAUUUUUUUUAUAUACAAACACUGUUUUUCAAAAUAUUAUAUCUUAAGACUUAACUAAAUAUUUUGUAACUAUGUAGAUAUAGUUUGUUUGAUCUCUUUUAAAUAGUGGAGAUUACAAACAAACAUAUGCAAAUUAGUAGUGAUGUUGAGUUUAGAAGAUUGAAGUUAAGAAAAUUAAGGGUUUCUUGAUCUAGAGAAAUUUCAAAUGAGUGAAGUGUCCUUGAAAUCGGAAGACGAAAAUAAGGAAAGGGUAAGGGUGUAUUUUCAAAGUGAUUCUAUUACGAGAUUUUGAAGUAGGGGUGGGCAAGUCGGGUUUUGGUUCGGGUUGUUCAAGUUUCGAUUUGGAUUUCAACCCAAUCGGGUUUGAGAAUUGAAUCCAAUCGGGUUGAAAACGCCAACCCAAACUAAACCGAACCGAAUUUAAUUCAGCUUGGGUUCAUAAUUCGGAUUGGUAAUUCAGGUUAAAAUUUCGGUUCGGGUUAAUUUGGGUUAGAAUAAUUCCAUCUAAAAUUUUGGGUUAGUUCGGUUUAAAACAAAUUGAAACAAUUUAAUCCAAAAAUUAUACCAACAACCACUUAAAAUCCAAAAAUCUCAAUUCCAAACAUCCUUAACAACAAAUAUCAACUACAAACUAUCCUUGAUAACAUUUCAACAAUAACAAUAACAAUAAUAACAACAACAACAACAAUAAUAAUAAUAAUAACAACAACUAUGAAUCAGCAAUUCAGCAUAUUGCCAUAUUCUAAAUUUAAAAAAACACACAAAUUAUGUAAUUAAUUAAUUAACAAUCUCCAAUUUAAUUUAUAAUAACAACAAAAAUCCUCUCCAAUUUAAUUAAUAACAAUCUCGAAUUGUUCAAUUACCAGUCAACAACAACAAACCCACUCCAAAUAAUUGAACAAUUGUUAAUUAAUUAAUUAAAAAUAUCUAAUUUAAUUAAUAACAACACCCAAGAGCAAGUCAGCAAUAAACCCACUCAAAAAUCCAAAUAUCAGUAUAAAUUAAGUGUCAAACCUUGAUCGGUGGGAAGCUACAGCGUCGGCAAAUUGUGACCGUGUGGGGCUGAGUGAGACCGUCAACCGAGGGUGUGAGAAGGGAGGAGGGAGCAGGGAGGUAACGAGGUGUGUGUGAGUUUAUAUAUAUAUAUAUAUAUAUAAUUUUUAAAACCUAAAACUUAAAAAAAAAAUUUAACCCAAUCCAAACCGCCCACCUCAUAUUACUUCCGUUAAGAGAUGGAUCCCACACUCUUGAGCCUUUGUCGUCCCAGUCAACUAUAAAAACAAAUCAUUAUUGAGUGUGAAUAGACUUAUUGAUCACCCAAUUUUCAAACUUAUCAUCCUUAUUGUAUCUGCAUUCCCUUUUGAAAAUUUUUUAAAAAAGUACAAAUAAUGAAACAAAGUUUUGUUCCUUCAACAGUUGAUAGAGUUACGCGGCUUGGACUUGCAAGUGCUGUCGGCAUUUUCAAACUUGUAAGACCCUUCAACUUGCUUUCCAAGAUAGCUAUAAUUAAUAAUGACAACAGUCUCCCUCAUAGCGACUAGUGAGCAACUGAAAUUAACGGCAUCUUCUCUCGCAUUUUUAAAAAAAUUGAAUUAUAUAACCCACCAAAACUAUAAAGAAUUGUUAGUUUUUCUUCAUUAAAAUUAAUAUAUUGCUCCUCAUAUUGAAAAAUCAAAAUUCAGAAUAAGAAUGAUUGAUACUGUUUAUUUACUAAAAUGAAAAUAAAAUAUAUGAAGCCUACAUAUUUUUGAAAUUAAAAAACAAGAACUUGAUUUUCCUUGGGGAGUGUUGGAAAUCAAGUUCUUGUUAUUUAAACUCUCAAUUGUAUCUCACCGAAAUUUCAUAAUUCUACUUUUGUCUUCAAUUAAAAUAUUAUUAUAGUUAUUAUUCUUAUUUUUGUAGUUGUUGUUGUUGAUUAUGAUAAAUGGUCAGGCAAAUGAUUCAUUUACUUAUUUUUUUCCUUUUAAAUUUUUGUUAUUAAGAAGAUUUUUGGAUAUUUAGCGUGAAGGUCUCAACUGAUCGCUAAUUUCACAGCAACUUCCUUUUUUUUUUUUUCCCUCAAUUGUUUUGAAAAAAUAUCAAGACUCAUUCAGCAAAAUAUCCGAGGCCAAAGCGCCAAAAGAUGGGACAGCCACAUGCACUUCUAAUUACAAAAUCUAAAGUUAGGGUGUCCAUAACUUACAUUUAAUAUAAUUUAUAAUUAGGUAAAAUUCAUUCAUUGACCCAGUAAUUUUAUUAUCCUAUUACUUAUAUUUUUAUAUUAAAAAAUUAGUAAGUAGGAAAAUUCUUAAAAGAUAAUGAAGAAGGAAAAGAAAAAGAAAAAGUGUAAAUGAACUGUAUUCACAUAAGUUUCAAACAUGUGAUUCAAUCUGAAUUGGCUUUUUUCAAAAGUAAAUACAAAGGAAAAUAAAAAGAAAAAAGCAAUUAAACGAGACUAAAAUCUGUGGCCUGUGUCAUUCAUAUCUUUUGACAUUUCUUUUAUAGCGGUAUAAAGGGUAGAUAUUUUGAAGUGAAAAGCAAAGCCUUUACCAUUACUUGCCUUAUCAUCUUUUAAAUUAGAGUUAUUAUCCUUUUAUUUUUAAGUAGCCAAAUUAGAGUUAUCAUCCUUUUAUUUUUAAGUAGCCAACUCAUCCGCAUUAUCUAUUAUUGAAUCUAAAGAUAAAUGAUUAUAAAUUUCUCUGAAGAUUUUAAGUCCAAACUAUAAAUUAAAAUAAUCUUAUUGAUUAAGUUAUUGUAUAAUAAUAACCUUAGCAUGACAAAUAUUAAUUCUUCUCUAGUAAAUGCUAAAGUAUUGGCUUAAGUUUUUUAACCAGCACAGUAAAUCCUUAAAGCUAUAUAUGCUAUAAUGUCCCUCUUCCCUUACAAAUUAAACCAAUUUGAAUUUAGAGUGAGUGAGUACCAUGAGUUUGCAUCAUUUGAUAUCAAAGGAGCAUCAUUACUAACUAAUACAGGCUCGAUCGAAUUCAUCAUACGAAGCAUAUUAUCGGCUGUAGGUAUGGAAAUAAAUUUUGUAUCCACAAACACUAUUUUUCAAAAUAUUUAAGACUUAACUUAUCAUUUUUUAACCAUAUAUGCAUAGGUUGUUUGACCUAUUUUAAAUAAUGGAGAUUACAACAAAUGAACAGAUGUGGAUUAGUAGUGUUGUUGAGUUCAGAAGAUUGAAGUUAAGAAAAAGGUUUCUUGAUCCAGAGAAAAUUCAAAAGAGCGAAGUGUCUUCGAGAUCAGAAAACGAAAUAAGGAAAGGGUAAGGUUAUACUUUCAAAAUGAAUUUGUUGAGAGAUCUUUGAAGAUUAUUUUCAUUAACAAUUAGAUCCCACACUUGAGUCUUUGUCGUCUCAGUCAGUCAGUUAUAAAGACAAAUUAAUUUUGAGUAUGAAAGGACUUUCAAACUUGUGACCCUUCAAGCUUUCUAUGACAGCUAUAAUGAAUAAUUACAACAGUGCUACCUAAUAGUGAGCAACUUGUUUGAUGAAAUUAACAACUUCUUUUCUCUCAUGUAUUUUUAAAAAAUUGAAUUAUCAAAGCUUUUAUUUCAAAAUUAGUGCUAUAGUUCAUUAAUUUUGAAAAAUUUUCUUUUUUCUUUCCACACAACAGAUUGAUUUGCCCUCCAAAAACUGUAUUAGAUUGUUUAAUAUUGUAACUUCAAAAAACUUAUAAUAAAUUUUUAAAGAGAUAAAUAGGGAAUGUCAGUCUCCCAUCUACUCAAAAUUAAUAUAUAUCAUUAACUCUUGAUUAUUUUUAUAACAACUAAUAACUUUCUGGGCAGCAUAAUUUUACAGUAUCAUCCUUGUUUGUAAGUAUAUUUUUAUUCACAUUUAUUAUAAAUUAAUUAAGUCAUAUCAAUGAAAAUUGAAAUAGAAAUUGAAGUACUAAAAAAAAUGUUUUGGUGUGAAUAAAAAAUUGAAAAUAAAAAUAUUUUUAUUAUAUUUUUUAUUUUUAAAUGGUUUUCUUAUAAUAAAUAUAUAUUUUAUAUUCUCAAAUUGAAUUAUUGAGUAAAUGACUCAUUUACUCACUUUUUCUUUUAAUUUUGUUAUUAGGAGGAUUUUUAGAUAUAAUGAAAAUUGUAAGGUAGUAAGUAAUAUAAAAUAAUUUUAAUAGAGAAAAAUAAAAAAUCUGUAAUUUUAAAAUAUAAGGAGAAAAAUAAUUAAUUUCAAGAUAUUUUAGAAGAUAUUUCAAUAUGCGGUGGACUAUAAACUCGAGUCUUUGUCGUCACAGUCAACUAAAAGGACAAAAUAUUGAGUGCGAAGGGCUCAACUGAUUGCUAAUUUCACAGUAAUUGCGUUUUUUCUUUCUUUUUUUUAAUUAUUGGGAAAUAAUAACUUAGUAUAACAAAUAUUAGAUCCUAUACUUUAAUGCUGCAAAAUUAUGAAACCUUAUAUUAUAUUAUGUUUCCAUAUUUCUCCUUUAUAGUGAAGACUCACACACUUCUUCUGUAGUAAAUGCUAAAGUAUUGGCCUAAACUUUUUAACCAGCACAAUAAACCCUUAAGUUAUAUAUGCUAUAAUGUACCUCUUCCCUCACAGAUUAAACCAAUCUGAUCUCAGAGUGAGUUUGCAUCGAAGGAGUAUCCUUACUAACUAAUAUAGGCUCGAUCAAUAGGGAUGACAAUAAUUUUUUUAUCUACGAACAUUAUUUUUUCAAAAUAUUAUAUCUUUAGACUUAACUAAAUAUUUUUUUAAUCAUGUAUGUAUAGUUUGUUUGAUCUCUUUUAAAUAGUGGAGAUCACAACAAAGCAAAUGCUAAUUAGUAGUGAUGUUGAGUUCAGAAGAUUGAAGUAAUGAAAAUUAAGGGUUUCUUGAUCCAGAGAAAUUUCAAAAGAGUGAAGCGAAAAGUGAAUUUAUUGAGAGAUCUUUAAAGAUUUACUUCCAUUAAGGGUUGGAUGCCACACUUUUUGAGCCUUUGUCGUCCCAAUCAUUCAAUUAUAGGAUCCCUAAGCAUAUAACUUACAAUCCUUUCACAUAAAUAAUGAGUAGUGUGAAUCCAUACAACUUACAACCUUCUCACAUAAAUAAUGAGUAGUGUGAAUCCAUACAACUUACAACCUUCUCACAUAAAUAGUGAGUAAAUCUAAACUACUCACUAUUCAUGUAAAAAAAUUAUAAAUUACAUACAUGUAACUUAGCAUUAUUCUCCACUAUAAAGACAUAUUCUUAUUGAGGGUGAAUAGGCAUAUUGAUCACUAAAUUUUCAAACUUGUGAUCCUCAUUAAAUGUGAUUCCCCUUUGAAAAAGAAAAAAAAGUGCAAAUAAUGAAACAAAAUUAUGUUCCUUAGCAGCAAGUGGCGUCGGCAUUUUCAGACUUGUAAAAGGGAAUGAGAUCCUUUCCUGAACCCGGAUCUCAUUCCCUGUGAAACAAAAAAAGGUGCAAAUAAUGAAACAAAAUUCUGUUCCUUAGCAGCAAGUGGCGUCGGCAUUUUCAGACUUGUAAAAGGGAAUGAGAUCCUUUCCUGAACCCGGAUCUCAUUCCCUGUGAAACAAAAAAAGGUGCAAAUAAUGGAACAAAAUUUUGUUCCUUAACAGCAAGUGGUGUCGGCAUUUUCAGACUUGUAACAAGGGAAUGAGAUCCUCUCCUGAACCGGGAUCUCAUUCCCUGUGACAAGACCCUUGCCACCCUUCAACUCGCUUUCCAAGAUAGCUAUAUUAAUCGUGACAACAUUACUCUCAGUGAGCAAAAGUUAACAUCAUCUUCUCCCUAUUUUUUUAAAAAAUUGUAUUAUAUAGCCCACCAAAACUAUAAAGAGUCUUUUCUUAUUAAAAUUAAUAAAUUACUCUUUAUAUUAAAAAAUUAAAAUUCAAAAUGAAAAUGAUCUGAUGUUUAUUUAUUAAAAUAUAAAUAAAAUAUAUGAAGUUCAUAUUUUUUUAAAUUAAAAAAUAAGAACCUAAUUUCAUUCCUUAAAUUCCCAAAUUUACCUCACAAAAAUUCCAUAAACUUACUUUUGUCCUUAAUUAAAAUAUUAUUAUGUUAUUAUUAUGGUUAUUAUUCUUAUUUUUGUAAUAGUUGUUGUUGUUGAUGAUGAUAAUACAUAUAAUAAAAUUAAUAAUAAUAAAAAUAAUAACUAUAAUUUUAACAACAGCAAUAAUAAUCAUUAAUAUUAUUGUUGUUGUUGUUGUUGUUGUUGUUGUUCUUCUUCUUCUUCUUCUUCUUCUUCUUCUUCUUCUUCUUCUUCUUCUUCUUCUUCUUCUUAUUAUUAUUAUUAUUAUUAUUAUUAUUAUUACUAUCCUAUUAUAAUAAUAUUAUUAAAUAAUUAUUUUGAAUAAUAAUAAUCACAAUUAUUAUAACAAACGACAAAAAUCAACUAAGGUAAUUUUAAUAACUUGUAAGAAUUCAUUUUUAUUCAUGGAUAUGUGAUUAUUUGUUAAUGUAUGCAAUUACUUGUGAUGGUAAACAAAGUAUAUAUGGUAUAUUUUCAAGUUAAAAAAGAAAAACAAAACAAAGUUUUUACCAUUUCUUGCCUUAUCAUCUUUUAAAUUAGAGUUAUUAUUCUUUUUAUUUUUCAAGUUGCCAACUCAUCCGCAUUCUCUUUUAUUGAAUUUGAAGAUCGAUGAUCAUAAAUUUGUGUGAAAAUUUUAAGUAAAAAUUUUAAAUUAAAAUAAUCUUUUAAGUUAUUGGGAAAUAAUAACUUAGUAUAACAAAUAUUAUAUCCUAUACUUUAUUGCCACAAAACUACAAAACCAUAUAUUAUAUUAUGUUUUCAUAUUUCUCCUUUAUAGUGUGAAGACUCAUACUUCUUCUCUAGUAAAUGCUAAAGUAUUGGCUUAAACUUUUUAACCAGCACAGUAGACCCUUAAGUUAUAUAUGUUAUAAUGUCCCUCUUCGCUCACAGAUUAAACCAAUCAGUAGCCUUCUCUCAUAUAGAAAAACUUUUUGUAUAAGACAAAUUAUUAUGUUAUCGGAAAAAUUACAGUAGACGUAAGCUAUAUAUGUUAUAAUGUUCAGAAGAUUGAAGUUAAGAAAAUUAAGGAAAGGGUAAGGAUGUAUUUUCAAAGUGAAUUAUUAAGAGAUCUUUGAAGAUUACUUCCGUCAAGAGUUGGGUCCCACACUUUUACCUUUUGCUCGUUCCCGUGAAAGUCAGUUUAGAAUUUUUAUCUUAUUUCACAAAGCUAAUUUUUUAUCACAAGCAGGAGAGAAACGGCAUUUCUUAGCAGUAGUUCAUCACUGUAGUAGCGAGCGAGUGAGGAACAAAAUUGCCAACAAUUAUCAAAAAAUAAUUAUAUAAAAAAGAUCACAUGCUAUAAUUAAUCAUGACAAUUGACAACAUUACUCCCACCGAGCAAAAGUUAACAGCAUCUUCUCCCACAUUUUUUAAAAAAAAUUGUAUUAUAUAACCCACCAAAAGUAUAAAGCGUCUUUCCUUAUUAAAAUUAAUAAGUUACUCUUUAUAUUGAGAAAUUAAAAUUUAAAAUGAGAGUGAUUAAUGAUGUUUAUUUAUUAAAAAUAAAAUAAAAUUUAUGAAGUCUAUAUAUUUUUUAAAUUAAAAAAUAAUAACUUAAUUUCUUAUAGGGAGUGUUGGAAAUCAAGUUUUUAUUUCUUAAAUAUCCAAUUUUACUUCACAAAAAUUUUAUAAGUUCACUUUUAUCCUUAAUUAAAAUAUUAUUAUGGUUAUUAUUCUUAUUUUUGUAGUAGCUGCUGUUGUUAUUGUUGUUGUUGUUGUUGAUGAUGAUGAUAAUAGUUGAUAAUAAAAUUAAUAAUAAUAAUGAAAAUAAUAACUAUAAUUUUAACAGCUACAAUAAUAAUCAUUAAUGUUAUCGUUGUUCUUAUUAUUAUUAUUAAAAAAUAAUUAUUUUGAAUAAUAAUAAUCACAAUUAUUAUAACAAACAACGACAAUAAUCAACUAAUGUCAUUUUUCUAACUUAUAACAAUUCAUUUUUUAUUCCAAGACAAACUAACCAUAUCAAUAAUAAUACAGGUCGUUUCGAUUCUAAUUUUUACAGGUAAAGUAAAUAAUUUAUUCUGAUUCUCAUUUUUUAUUUUGAUUUUAUUCUAUUCCGAUUCCAUUUGAUUAUGAUUCCAGCCAAUUCUAAUUAUCGAUUAGAAAAUGCAUUGUUACUACUUUAACAAUAACUAAUGAUUCUCCUCACAAUUCUUAUAGGAUUAUCCUUAUUUUAAAAUAUUUUUUAUUCGUAUUUAUUAUUAAUUAAUUAAAUUAUAUCAAUGAAAAUCAAAUAAAAAUUUAACUAAUAAAAAUGAGAAAAUAUAUGUUUCGGUUUGAAUAAAAAAUUAUAAUAAAAUAUUUUUCUUACAUACUUUAAAUAUUUUUAUUAUAAUAAAUAUUUUUUUAUUCUCAAAAUAAAUUAUCAAGUAAACGAUUCAUUAACUCAUUUUUUUCCUUUAAAUUUUUGUUAUUAAGAAGAUUUUUGGGUAUUGACCGUGAAGGGCUCAACUGAUCGCUAAUUUUGCAGCAAUUACCUUUUCUUUUUCUUUUUUUUUAAUUGUUUUGAAAAAAUAUCCAGACUCAUUCUGCAAAGUACCUGAGACUAGAGCUGGCAAAAUUUGACACGACCCGAUUACCCGACACGAACACGACAUAAAUAAAUGGGUAUGGGUCGUCAAAUUUAACACGAUUAUUAAAUGGGUCGGGUCCGGGUCAACACGAUUUUUUUCCGUGUCGGGUUUGGGUUAAAAUUCUUGACCCAUUUACCCGAUCAAUGACCCGAUUAUAUUUUCUAUUUUAAAAUAAUUUAUAUAUUCUUAUAAUUAAAACUCAAAUAUUAGAGAUGAUUUUCUUUUUUUUUUUAUUUUUUAAAAGGGUGAAUAUAAACACAGUGUUUUAUUUAUAAAAUUUUACAUACAUUUAGAGCUUCAAUAGUGUAAAUGUGUAAAAAUUGAUAGACAUGUAUAUUUUAUAAUAUUGAUAUAUAAUAUUAUAUAUAUAUAUAUAUAUAUAUAUAUAUAUAUAUAUAUAUAUAUAUAUAUAUUAAAACUUCAAUAGUAUAAAUGUAUAAUAUAUUGGUAGAUAUAUAUAUUUUAUAAUAUUGAUAAAUUAUGUAUGUAUGUAUGUAUGUAUGUAUGUAUGUAUGUAUGUAUGUAUGUAUGUAUUUAUGUACAUACGUAUGUAUGAUAGUGUGUAAAUAUUUUAUGUAACUUUUGUUCAAUAUAUAGAUAUUAAACGGGUUAUUGGGUAACCCGAUUAUUUUUCCGUGUCGGGUUUGAGUCUCAAUAUUUUGACACGAUUAUUAAAUGGGUCGGGUUUGGGUCGAUCUAAAUUUGACACGACACGAAACUGACACGAUACGAACACGAUCCGAUGACCCGUUUUGCCAGCUCUACCUGAGACCAAAGCGCCGGCCAAAGCGCCGAAAGAUAGGACACCCACAUGUGCUUUUAUUUACAAAAUCUAAAGUUAGGGUGGGUGUCCAUAACUUAAAUUUAAUAGAAUUUAUAAUUAGGUAAAAUUCUUUGAUUGACCCAUUAACUUUUAUUAUUUUAUUAUUUAUUUUUAUAUUAAAAAAUUAGUAAUGUAGAAAAAUUCUUAAAAGUUAAUGGAGAAGGAAAAGAAAAAGAAAAAGUGUAAAUGAACUGUAUUCAUUUAAGUUUCAAACAUGUGGUUCAAUCUGAAUUCGUUUUUUUUAAAAGUAAAUACAAAAGAAAAUAUAAAGAAAAAAAAUUAAACGAGACAAAAAUCAGUGGCGUGGGUCAUUCAUAUCUUUUUCCAUUUUUUUUUAAUAGAGGUACAUAGCAUAGAGUCGAUAUUUUGAAGUGAAAAGCAGAACCUUUACUGUUGCUUCCCUUAUCAUCUUUUAAAAUUAGAGUUAUUAUUCUUUUAUUUUUAAGUGGCCAACGGAUGGUAGCCAACUCAUCCGUGUUCUCUAUUAUUGAAUUUAAAGAUCAAGGAUUUAUGUUAAUAAAUAUUUUGUUAACUAUCAAAGUUUUUAUUUCAAAAUUACUCCUAUAAUUCAUUAAAUUUUCAAUUUUUCCUUUUUCUAUUCACACAACAGAUUGAUUUGCCCUCCAAAAAAAUGUAUUAGAUUGUUUAAUAUUGUAACAUCAAGAAACUUAUAAUAAAUUUUUAAAGAGAUAAAUAGAGAAUGUCAGCAUCUACUCAAAAUUAAUAAAUAUACCACUAACUUCUUAUUAUUUUUAUAAUAACUAAUAACUUUUUUACCAGUAUAAUUUUAUAGUAUUAUUCUUAUUUGUAAGUAUAUUUUUUAUUCAUAUUUAUUAUAAAUUAAUUAAAUCAUAUCAAUAAAAAUUAAAAUAACACAAUAUGUUUUGGAGUGAAUAAAAGAUUGAAAAUAAAAAUAUUUUUCUUUUAUUUUUUGUUAUUUUAAAAUUUUUUUCUUAUAAUAAAUGUAUAUUUUAUAUUCUUAAGAUGAAUUUUGAGUAAAUGACUCAUUUACUCACUUUUUCUUUAAAUUUUUGUUAGUAGGAGGAUUUUUAGAUAUAAUGAAAAUUGUAAGGUAGUAAGUAAUAAUAUAAUAAUUUUAAUAAAGAAAAAUAAUUAAUUUCAAGACAUUUCAGAAGAUAUUUCAAUAUGCGGUGGACUACAUCCUUGAGUUGAGUCUUCAUCGUCUCAGUCAACUAAAAGGACAAAAUAUUGAGUCACAAAGGACUCAACUGAUUGUUAAUUUCACACCAAUUACCUUUUUUUUCUUUUUUUUUUCUUAAUCUAUAUAUUUAUAUAAAGUUAGUACUUGAGAAUGUGAUGUAUCAUCACCAUUUUUUUUUAUUUAAUAAAUAGAGAAAUUUUCUUUUAAAUUUGACUUUUCAUUUUCUCAUAAUUAAUUUGAUUGCUAUUGCACAAUAACAAUUAUGUAAAGAUUUUAAUGAGGCAUAUUAUUUGUAAUGAACAUUUAAGAGAGAGUGUUAUUUGUAAUGAACAUCUAAGGGAGAGUGUUAUGAAUUUAUUAAAAUAAAUAUAUAUUUUCAUAAUAUAUAUCUCUUAGUCUCCCCACUAUCUCCCAUUAGCAACCUUUAGCUUCCUUAUAACUCCCACUAUUUUUAUAAAUCCACCCACCUUCAUAAAAUAAUUACAAUAAGUUCACAUUAUUUUAUAGAAUUACAAAUUAAUAAUAAGUUUGAAUAAUUAAUUAAUUAAAUCAUUCUUAUAAUUUUUUUUCUUUCUUUGUCUUUCAACAAUCUUUAAUAAUUUAAGGUUGCUUUAAGAUAAGUUUAAUUUAAUUAAUUUACCCUUAUAAUAUAAAAUAACAAAAUUACCCUAAGAAAUAUAUAUUAUUGUAACUAAUUGUUUAGGCAUUUAGUUUUAUGUUUUAUAAUCUAAUAUGCUUUAUAUAAAAUUUAAUAAUUUUCAAUACUCCAAAUGUCCUAAUUACAUCUUGUUAGUUUAGUGAAAUAUUAAUAAUUAUACUAAAAAAGCAUUACUUAUACAUCAUUAAAAUAUAAAAAAAAUUAUUAAGUUAAAGUAAACUUUUAGAUAUUUUUGUUACUUUUACCUUAUAAGGUUAGAAUAAUUAUAUUAAUUUAUGUUAAAACAACCUUAUUGAUCAAAUAUAAUUAAAAAAAUAGUCUCAUAAAAAAAUUAAUGAAUAUGGAUUUAAUUGGUUAAAUUUUUAAAUUUCUUCUUAAUUUGAAUUUUUAAAAAAUAAUGUGUACUUGUAGUAAUGAUUUUUUAAAAUUGGGGUGGGUUAUUAUUGAUGACCUUUGAACAUACAUACAUAUUAUUAAUAUAUUUAUUAAUAUAUACGAUUACUUGUGAUGGUAAACGAGGUAGAUAUGGUAUAUUUUUAAGUUAAAAAAAAAAAACAAAACUUUUACCAUUUCCUGCCUUAUCAUCUUUUAAAUUAGACUUAUUAUUAUUUUAUUUUUCAAGUUGCAACUCAUCCUCAUUCUCUUUUAUUGAAUUUGACGAUCAAUGAUUAUAAAUUUGUGUGAAAAUUUUAAAUCAAAGUUUUAAAAUAAAAUAAUCUUUAAGUUAUUGAGAAAUAAUAACUUAAUAUAACAAAUAUUAUAUCUUGUACUUUAUUGCUACAAAAUUACGAAACCUUAUAUUAUAUUAUGUUUCCAUAUUUCUCCUUUAUAGUGAAAACCCAUACUUCUUCUCUAGUAAAUGCUAAAGUAUUGGGUUAAACUUUUUAACCAGCACAGUAGACCCUUAAGCUAUAUAUGUUAUAAUGUCCCUCUUCCCUCAGGAUUAAACCAAUCUGAUCUCAGAGUGAGUUUGCAUUAUUUGUCAUCAAAGGAGCAUCAUUACUAACUAAUAUAGACUCGAUCAAUAGGUAUGACAAUAAAUUUUCUGUCUACGAACACUAUUUUUUAAAAUAUUAUAUCUUUAGACUUAACUAAAUAUUUUUUAAUCAUAUAUGUAUAGUUUGUUUGAUCUCUUUUAAAUAGUGGAGAUCACAACAAAGCAAAUUCGAAUUAGUAGUGAUGUUGAGUUCAGAAGAUUGAAGUAAAGAAAACUAAGGGUUUCUUGAUCCAGAGAAAUUUCAAAAGAGUGAAGCGAAAAGUGAAUUUAUUGAGAGAUCUUUGAAGAUUUACUUCCGUUAAGAGUUGGAUGCCACACUUUUUGAGCCUUUGUCGUCCCAAUCAUUCAAUUAUAGGAUCCUUAAGUAUAUAACUUUCAAUCUUUUCACAUAAAUAAUGAGUAGUGUGAAUUCAUACAACUUAUAACUUUCUCACAUACAAUUUACAACAUUCUCACAUAAAUAGUGAGUAAAUCUAAACUACUCACUAUUCAUGUAAAAAAAUUAUAAAUUAUAUAUAACUUAGCAUUAUUCUCCACUAUAAAGACAUAUUCUUAUUAAGUGUGAACAGACAUAUUGAUCACUAAAUUUCCAAACUUGUGAUCCUCAUUAAAUGUGAUUCCCCUUUGAAAAAGAAAAAAAAGUGCAAAUAAUGAAACAAAAUUAUGUUCCUUAGCAGCAAGUGGCGUCGGCAUUUUCAGACUUGUAAAAGGGAAUGAGAUCCUUUCCUGAACCCGGAUCUCAUUCCCUGUGAAACAAAAAAAGGUGCAAAUAAUGAAACAAAAUUCUGUUCCUUAGCAGCAAGUGGCGUCGGCAUUUUCAGACUUGUAAAAGGGAAUGAGAUCCUUUCCUGAACCCGGAUCUCAUUCCCUGUGAAACAAAAAAAGGUGCAAAUAAUGGAACAAAAUUUUGUUCCUUAACAGCAAGUGGUGUCGGCAUUUUCAGACUUGUAACAAGGGAAUGAGAUCCUCUCCUGAACCGGGAUCUCAUUCCCUGUGACAAGACCCUUGCCACCCUUCAACUCGCUUUCCAAGAUAGCUAUAUUAAUCGUGACAACAUUACUCUCAGUGAGCAAAAGUUAACAGCAUCUUCUCCCUAUUUUUUUAAAAAAUUGUAUUAUAUAGCCCACCAAAACUAUAAAGAGUCUUUUCUUAUUAAAAUUAAUAAAUUACUCUUUAUAUUAAAAAAUUAAAAUUCAAAAUGAAAAUGAUCUGAUGUUUAUUUAUUAAAAUAUAAAUAAAAUAUAUGAAGUUCAUAUUUUUUUAAAUUAAAAAAUAAGAACCUAAUUUCAUUCCUUAAAUUCCCAAAUUUACCUCACAAAAAUUCCAUAAACUUACUUUUGUCCUUAAUUAAAAUAUUAUUAUGUUAUUAUUCUUAUUUUUGUAAUAGUUGUUGUUGUUGAUGAUGAUAAUACAUAUAAUAAAAUUAAUAAUAAUAAAAAUAAUAACUAUAAUUUUAACAACAGCAAUAAUAAUCAUUAAUAUUAUUGUUGUUGUUCUUGUUGUUGUUGUUGUUGUUCUUCUUCUUAUUAUUAUUAAUAUUAUCAUCCUAUUAUAUUAUUAUUAUUAAAUAAUUAUUUUGAAUAAUAAUAAUCACAAUUAUUAUAACAAACGACAAUAAUCAACUAAGGUAAUUUUAAUAACUUGUAACGAUUAAUUUUUAUUCAAAGAUAUGUGAUUAUUUGUUAAUGUAUGCAAUUACUUGUGAUGGUAAACAAAGUAUAUAUGGUAUAUUUUCAAGUUAAAAAAGAAAAACAAAACAGAGUUUUUACUAUUUCUUGCCUUAUCAUCUUUUAAAUUAGAGUUAUUAUUCUUUUUAUUUUUCAAGUUGCCAACUCAUCCGCAUGCUCUUUUAUUGAAUUUGAAGAUCGAUGAUGAUAAAUUUGUGUGAAAAUUUUAAGUCAAAGUUUUAAAUUAAAAUAAUCUUUAAAUUAUUGGAAAAUAAUAACUUAGUUGUAAUAAAUAUUAUAUUCUAUACUUUAUUGCUACAAAAUUACGAAACCAUAUAUUAUAUUAUGUUUUCAUAUUUCUCCUCUAUAGUGAAGACUCAUACUUCAACUUUUUAACUAGUACAGUAGACCUUUAAGCUAUAAAUGUUAUAAUGUCCCUCUUCGCUCACAGAUUAAAACAAUCUGUAGCCUUCUCUCAUAUAGAAAAACUUUUUGUAUAAGACAAAUUAUUAUGUUAUAGGAAAAAUUACAGCAGACGUAAGCCAUAUAUGUUAUAAUGUUCAGAAGAUUGAAGUUAAGAAAAUUAAGGAAAGUGUAAGGAUGUAUUUUCAAAGUGAAUUAUUAAGAGAUCUUUGAAGAUUACUUCCGUCAAGAGUUGGGUCCCACACUCUUAAGCUUUUUUCGUCUCAAUCAACUAACAAGACAAAUUAUUAUUGGGUGUGAACAGUCCGGCUUAUUGAUUGUUAAAAAAAUAGCAUUAUUUUGAGCGCACAUGUUGAGUAAGUCUUAUUUAACGAAAGUGAAAAAUAAGGUUCAAAUUUUAUUUUAUUGAUAUUUUAAUAAUAUUUUUUUUUAUUUUUUUAAAAUGGUGUUUAGGUAAAUAAGAAAUUAUUUAUUAAAAUUCAUUUUUAAAGUUAAAAAUUUAAAAAGAAAUGAGGUUUAUCCCACAUGAAAAAAAGAAGCUUAAGAAUUAGUAUUUAUAUAUAAACAUUUAACCAUUCAUAAAUAAGAAUUAUAGGAAUAGAGACUCUUUUCACACAUACGUGCGUAAGGGGUACAAAUUCAAGACGAAUUUAGUUGAACUCGUGUGCACCUGCAUAUCCUGAGAACGCAAAUGUCGGUGAUAAAUUUGUUUUAAAGAUUCUACUCUGUGUAGGCCUCGGUUCCAUUUUAUUUUUUCUGUUUCGGUUUUCAUCUCUCUUCGGUUUUGCUUUCUAUUAUUUCAUUUCAAAUUUCAGUAGUUAUCUUUCGUUGCUUAGCUACUGUUUAAUUUGUUACCUCACCGUUUGUUUUAUCUAACAUUGAUCACCAAAUUUUCAAACUCGUGAUCCUGAUUGAAUCUGCGUUCCCCUUUGCAAAAGUAAUAAAAAAAAGUGCAAAUAAUGAAGACUUUCUCUUUUCACAUUUUUUACGCGUUUCUCUUUUCUCUCCCCCACGUGAACACUUUUGCCUUUUGCUCGUUCACGUGAACGUCAUUUUAGAAUUUUUAUCUUUAUUAAUCAUGACAAUUGACAACAUUACUCCCACAUUUUUUUUAAAAAAAUUGGAUUAUAUAACCCACCAAAAGUAUAAAAAGUAUUUUCUUAUUAAAAUUAAUAAAUUACUCUUUAUAUUAAAAAAUUAAAAUUUAAAAUAAAGAAUGAUUGAUGAUGUUCAUUUAUUAAAAUAAAAAUAAAUUUUAUGAAGUCUAUAUAUUUUUAAAAUUAAAAAAUAAGAACUUAAUUUCGUAUGAACUGUAUUCACUACUUAGUAUUCUUAAAAGUUAACGGAGAAGAAAAAGAAAAAAAAAAGUGUAAAUGAACUGUAUUCACCUAAGUUUCAAACAUGUGGCUCAAUCUGAAUUCGCUUUUUUCAAAAGUAAAUACAAAAGAAAAUAUAAAGAAAAAAAAUUAAACGAGACAAAAAUCUGUGGCGUGGGUCAUUCAUAUCUUUUUCCAUUUCUUUUGUAGAGGUACAUAGGGUAGAUAUUUUGAAGUGAAAAGCAGAGCCUUUACUGUUGUUUGCCUUAUCAUCUUUUAAAAUUGGAGUUAUUAUUCUUUUAUUUUUAAGGAUGGUAGCCAACUCAUCCGUGUUCUCUAUUAUUGAAUUUAAAGAUCAAUGAUUUAUGUUAAUAAAUUUUUUGUUAACUAUCAAAGUUUUUAUUUCAAAAUUACUGCUAUAAUUCAUUAAUUUUUCAAUUUUUCCUUUUUCUAUUCACACAACAGAUUGAUUUGUCCUCCAAAAAAAUGUAAUAGGUCGUUUAAUAUUGUAACAUCAAGAAACUUAUAAUAAAUUUUUAAAGAGAUAAAUAGAGAAUGUCAGUCUCGCAUCUACUCAAAAUUAAUAAAUAUACCACUAACUUCUUAUUAUUUUUAUAAUAACUAAUAACUUUUUUAGCAUUAUAAUUUUAUAGUAUUAUCCUUGUUUGUAAGUACAUUUUUUAUUCAUAUUUUUUAUAAAUUAAUUAAAUCAUAUCAAUAAAAAUUAAAAUAACACAAUAAGUUUUGGAGUGAAUAAAAGAUUGAAAAUAAAAAUAUUUUUCUUAUAUUUUUUGUUAUUUUUAAAUGUUUUUCAUAUAAUAAAUGUACAUUUUAUAUUCUUAAGAUGAAUUUUGAGUAAAUGACUCAUUUACUCAUUUUUUUUCUUUAAAUUUUUGUUACUAGGAGGAUUUUUAGAUAUAAUGAAAAUUGUAAGGUAGUAAGUAAUAUAUAAUAAUUUUAAUAGAGAAAAAUAAAAAAUCUCUUAUUUUAAAAUAUAAGGAGAAAAAUAAUUAAUUUUAAAAAAUUUUAGAAGAUAUUUCAAUAUGCUGUGGAUCACACCCUCGAAUCUUUGUCGUCUUAGUCAAUUAAAAGGACAGAAUAUUGAGUGUGAAGACUCAACUGAUUGUUAAUUUCACAGCAAUUGUCUUUUUUUUAUUCUUUCUUUGUUUUUCCUAAUUAUUUUGAAAUAGUAGGUAGCAAUUGCUUACAUCAAAAUAUCUAAACUCACUCAGCAAAGUAUCCGAGGCCAAAAUGUCAAAACGUGGGACACCCAUACAUCUAAUUACAAAGUCUAAAGUUAAUGAAAAGAAAAAAAGAAAAAGUAUAAAUGAACGGUAAUCACCUCAUUUUCAAACAUCUAAUUCAACAUGAAUUUCUUUUUACGAAAAGUAAAUUUUCUCCCGGAUUGUCCUCAUUACAUUAAACGAAUGAUGACGACGCUCUGUCCGUUUCUGACUCUCUGCUUUGCUCUCUCACAUCACGAGACACCUCGUUUCUAACUGGGGUACCACCAUCAUAUUUAACUGUCGGGUCUUCCUACUAUGCACCUAGUGUAUGCAUGAUUCUUUGUGACAUGACAUAUAGCCAAUUAAAUUCUGACAUGCUUGCAAUAAAGACUGUUAAAGUGACCGGUUAUUCCGGUUGAUUUCACAAGAUCUUUUGUUUGUGUGUUUGUGUUCCAAGUUGUGUACUCUAUGUUACGACUCCUCUGAUUUUUUUUUUUUUAAGUCUGUUAUACAGAGAUAUUACUGACAUUACAUCAAACAUUACAAUUAAUAUUUACAAUCAUACUAUAUAACUGGGACCACCACCAUACAUUGACACACUGAAGUAUAUGCCCAGAUAUUUUAAACCCUCGAAUUAUACACAGAUAUUACUGACAUUACAUCAGAUAUUACAAUUAAUAUUUACAAUCAUACUAUAUAACUGGGACCACCACCAUACAUUGACACACUGAAGUAUAUGCCCAUAUAUUUUAAACCCUCGAAUUAUACACAGAUAUUACUGACAUUACAUCAGACAUUACAAUUAAUAUUUACAAUCAUACUAUAUAACUGGGACCACCACCAUAACAUUACAAUUAAUAUUUACAAUCAUACUAUAUAACUGGGACCACCACCAUACAUUGACACACUGAAGUAUAUGCCCAGAUAUUUUAAACCCUCGAAUUAUACACAGAUAUUACUGACAUUACAUCAGAUAUUACAAUUAAUAUUUACAAUCAUACUAUAUAACUGGGACCACCACCAUACAUUGACACACUGAAGUAUAUGCCCAUAUAUUUUAAACCCUCGAAUUAUACACAGAUAUUACUGACAUUACAUCAGACAUUACAAUUAAUAUUUACAAUCAUACUAUAUAACUGGGACCACCACCAUACAUUGACACACUGAAUAUCAGACAUUACAAUUAAUAUUUACAAUCAUACUAUAUAACUAGGACCACCACCAUACAUUGACACACUGAAGUAUAUGCCCAGAUAUUUUAAACUCUCUCUAAUAUUCGAGGGGUGCCUGCUCCACUCACAUUUCGUAAGGGAGAGACUGUCUCCAUUCAAUUAAUUAAUAAUUGAGGAAGAACUGAAACUAACCUCUAUAAUGCUCUUAUGGAGGCUCGAACCCUUGCACUCAACAUUAUAAGUACAAGGCUUCUCCCAUUGGACCAAAGGCCUAUUGGUAUGAGUUCUCUGAUUAAGUCUGAUAUUAUCUGUUGCUCAAUAAUGUUACAGGUUUUAUAAUAUGACUGGUACGAUCGCUGUCACAAAUUUAGAACGAAAAGUUUCCAAUAAAAUAAGUUAUUUAAUUAAUUAAAUAAGAAUAAAAUGAAUUUGUGAAAAAAAUUUAAAUUUAAUUUUGAAUUAUUUUGACCAAAAUUUAAGUUUUUUUUAAUUUGUUUAAGAAAAUGUGUUGUAAUUGUCUUGUUUUAAUUGGAAAAUCAAUGAAAAAAUUAUGUAACAGACAAAAAAAAAAAAAAAAAAAAGCAAAACGGUUUGUUUUGUAUGGAGGCCAUAGAUUCUAAUAUUUCCUUCACGAAAACUACAAAAAAAUUAUCAAAGGCAUCAAUUUCUACACUCUCACCGAGCAAUACUCUUAACCCAGAAGAAAGUGUAUAAACCAACCCCAAUCAGUCCAUCAAUGUCGUCAACCUCAUACAGCAUAAAAAAAAAUCUGUGUCCAUUAAACCGCCAUUUAAACCGUCUUUAUUGAACCAUUAGACUAUUCGUGUCAUCUUCCCAUCUCGUUGUAGUAUUUUACCUUUCAAAUUUAGUUAUCAAUUCUGGAAAAUGGGACCAAUCUGCAAGUCUUUAAAAUAGAAAGAAACUUUAAUUGGGCACUAUGUUCACGGUAGUGGACCCAGCAGCAUUAAUAUUUAGGGUGGAGCUAUUUAUAUUUUAAACAUUCUAAUUUUAAUAAGAAUAUAUAUUACAAAUGAUCACGACAUUGGGGACCAAUCACGUUGACAAGCAUUUUUUUUAUUUAUUAAUAAAGUGCUCUGAAAAGAGCUAAGGCAAUACUAAACGGGGGUGGUCCCGUUUUUAAUCUAACAUAGAGUCUUAAAAACCUUGUCAGUGGCAAAUGAUCACGACAAGAAAUCUGAAGGAGAAACAGCAGAGCUCAACAAAUCACUAAGAGAAAAUAAGACCAAUAACCAAGCAGAUAAAAGAAAAGCAAAAUAACCCAUCUCAAAAUCACCACAUGCACUAUUUAAGGGGUUUGUGAUAUGGGUUUAAAAAUAAUUUAACAAGUGCCACCUGUGAAUUGUCAGAGAUUGUAUCUUCAUACACAUGUCAAAUUUUCAAGUCCAACAAAUUGUUAUCUUUCUAAAGAGGCUAAUAUUAUUAUUAUCUAUGCAUAGCAUGCUAUAAACAAUUCAUAUUACUAGGGCCUUUGUUUUCUGUACACAACAUAUGGACAGAGGAACAAAUCCCUGAGCUAAAAUCAUCAUAUUCCAAAAUAUUCUAUUAAAUCAACACCACAAAACGCGAACGCUAAACAGAAUUGGAGCAAUUUACCAAAGCUAUUUGUCACGCAAAGCACUAGUACCUCAGAACCCAAUUUGCAAAAAAGCACCAAAAAUGAAAAAUAACAAAUGCCCAGAUGAAAAAUCAGGAAAAAAAAAUGCUCAAAUCCAAAUUACAACCCCAUAAGCUGAGUCGUUCUAUUCGAACUGAAUUAAAAAAAAUUAAUUAGGGAGAUUGACCUCAAACUUUGGAAACAGAAGCGACAUCGAUCUGUUUCUUGUCUGGAGUGUCCAUUUCUAUAAUCUACUUUGUCCGUUUUCAGUUGCUCUGCCACAAAGCUUCUUCCCUCUGAAGCUGAAGCUCACACACACUUGCAAAACGAAAGCAUUUUUUAUUGAUUGAGAGGCGGGAAGGCGGGAAAAUGAGAGAAAUUUGCAUUUGUUUUGUCUUGGUUUGGUCAUACCUGUGCGGGCCCCAGCUUGACAAGCGGUAUUAUUACUAUUUGUAUAAUUUACAUGACGCGUGUCACGCAAUGACGAUAAAAUGUAUAUAUUGUUAAUUUUUCACUUAACAUUGAAUGAUUGAAAUAUCAUAUAAUUUUUCCAAUUUUAUGGUUAUUUUCUCGCCCUUAUGCCACAUUCUUUUGAUCAAAUAAUACAGUAAAACUUUUCUAUAAUCAUAAUAUUAGAGCCAAAUUAACUUUGUUUCUGUAAAGAGGCUAUAGCUUAAUAAAGGUAAAAUUAUAAAAAUUAUUAUUUUGACUCAGUUAUCUUUAGUGCAAGUGAUAUAAAGUACAAAUAUAUGAUAAUUAAUUAAUGAACUAUGUCAAAUACAAUAUGCUGACAAUGAUAAAAAAGAUAGACAUAAUUUCAAGAAACUAAUACAUAUAUUUAUGUAGUGCUGGGAUUAUACAAAAUUAUCUUAAAAGUGUAAAGAGUAAAGUAUUAUUCUAAUUAAUUUAAAAAAAUUAUUUUUUCUUAAUCUUUAAUGCAACAUAGCUUUUUUUUUUUUUUUCUUAGCAACAAAGCAUUGUUCCACAUAAUUAUUAUUGGAUUCAAAUCAUGUCCUAGGCAUUUUUUCUUCUAGUCGUCUUAAACUUUUAAUGAUUUAUUGGCAUGCGUCAAUCAUUAAUGAAAUUAAAUAACUAAGACUUUGUUUUAAUUAACGUUUACAUAAAUAGACAUCAAAACUCACAUGUGAUUCUUAUCAAAUUUUUUCCUGCAAAUUCUUUUCCUCUCAACUAUUCAUAUUUUGACAUUAAUUUCCAGCAAAUUAUUAAAAAAAAGAAGAAGCGUAAAAUGGAGAAAAGUGAUUGACAACAAGGUUUGCAUCUUAAUUUCAAAAAUUUCCUUUCUUUGUUAUUUUUGUGGGUUCUACAAUUGUUGUUUUCACUCUCAGCUGCAGUUCAAUGAACUCUAUUAAUAACCAUGAAGCUUAAUGUAUCAAUUCCAGUACGAGAAGUCCUUCUACGCAUGUUACAACACUUUUUUGUCAUUAUAGGUUGCAAAUGUUCCGUAAUGUACUCAUUCAUAUAACGGAAACGCUAUUAUCAAUAAUGAAAGUUGACUAAGUUUGUAAAUUCUAUUUAACGAAAAAGUAACAUAAAUUUAGUUGAACAAGAGGUAAUUAAUAUGUAAUCUAUGAAACUAGGGUGUGACUAAGUUACAUAGUAAUGUAACUUACAUGAACACAAAAAUAAUUAGUUUUUAAACUACAAGUAAUUUUGGAACUGCUCUUAAAUUGAUAUAAGUUUUAUUAUUAUGUAACUUAGCAAGGUCAGGUAUUUUAAUAAUAGCACAUCACUAUUGUUUCAUGUGAAUGAUGCAAUUGGAUUAGCCAAUACAUACCGUCAUCCCCGGGAGAUGCUAUGGCAAUAGCUUACUCUAUCGUGCCAAUGUCAUUAGUAUUAAUCUGUUGAACCUAAGACCAUAUCUAAGCUGAUCUAGAUUCCCCAAGAUCGCACACCACACAGUGAUUAAUGAAUCAAGAACAAUAAACCAUCAAAGAAUCGCAAACUUACAUGUCGGGUUACAUGUAAUAAAUGUUUUAAUUAUUAGAUGAUUCAUAAUGUUAGACCAUUUUUUGUAUGUUUUGUAAUCUACGUUUGAUAAUUGAAUUAGCUGAUAAACACUUGAAUAAUAUUAUUUUAUUAACUAUGUCAUUGAUCCCCAGGAAAAAAAAAAAAAAACCCAAUUUGGGAUGUUAUACAUUACUUUUUCAUUACUUCCCAUUUUAGAUUAAUAUUUAUCACAUAUAUUCUUAGUAACUUGUAACCCUUUUUGCUAAGGGUGAAAUGUGUUUGUUACCCCUUCUAUUUCUGAGAUUGUCCUUACAAUAAGGAUGCCGGCCCCAAUGUCAAAAACUGCUAUCUCUAGGUGUAAAUUCCUUAUAAAAUUCUUUUUUAAUUGAAAUUACUUAAAUAAUUGAAGAUAAAUUAUUUUUUAUUUCAUUCAAAUAAAAAAAUCAAUUAAACACUUAAAUAAGCUAUCCUUUUAAUUUUUUUUUUUUACACCCAUCCAGUUUCAUAAUUUAUAUUUAUAAUUUAAAUUUUAAUGGAAAAUAUUUUUUUGAAAAAUUUUAAGAAUUAAGAAUUAUGGGGAUAAAAAUUAUGUAAUAAGACCAAAAUAAUUUAAAAUUUUAAAAUUUGCAUGUAUUAUAAACAAAAACUUGAAAGAAAUACUCUUUUCAGGGUGAGAUUUAAUCAGAAAAAGAUUAAUUUUCAUUUAUGGAUCAGUAUUUUAUAAAUUAAACAGAGGUAUUUUAAGAAAUAGAAUUCAAAAGGCAUGGGAACAAGGGCAUGGCAUUGGGUUUCCUUUUGUUUUGUAUGGAUUGGGAAAAAUACACGGACAGACAAAGGGAACAGUCAUUAUAAUGAUGUGGAACUUGUCGGAGAUUCCCUGCCCAUUUGUAGCUUAGACUCCUGGGGUUUUGUUCAUGUCUUUUCUGUAUCCCACUUUCUCAUGCAGCAGAUGUACAUAUGAUGAGAUGAAAACAACAGCAAAAAUUGCUGUCUCAUAAGAGAAAUAGUCAUACAUAGUUGGUUAGGCCUCCAGUCCAUUAACUUAAUAAUCAAUUUUAUGAAAAUUGAUUAUCUCAUUGGAAUUACAUAGAUAUUGGAAAACAUUACUCCAGCCCCACCAUCCCAACCAUUUACUUAGUUCAUCAGUAAAAGCUGGAUUUACCAUUUGUUCUUGAGAUUCAAAUUAAGGCAACAAGUUGCUCAUUCUAUAUUAUCUAUGUAAUCCUGUAAAAGUGAAGGGCGUUUAGAUGUGGAAAAACCUUACCCCUGCCGCAACACCUCAAACAGAUUGUGAUCAGACAAGACUUAGUUCAUCAUUAGUAGUAGUUGGAGCUUCCAUUUGUUCUAGAGAUUUAAAGGCAGCAAGCUGCUUCCUCAGUGCUACUAAUUCUUCCCCGGCAUUGCAUAUGUAGCCUGAGGCUUGUCUACCAGACAAAGUUGCUCCUUCCAUACCAUCUAUGUAAUCCAGUGAGAGUGAAACCAUUUAGAAGACGUAUCUCUUUCUUUCCAAUAUUUAGAAUGAAACAAUUAUAUACAGUUACCUGUUUUGCAUAUGAGCCGGCGAGGAAGAAGUUCUUCACUGGUGUCAUUGGAUCACGUCUGAAGGGGUCUUUACCAGGUCCCUCACCACACAAAGAUUGCCCGAUUUUGACGAAAGAUGACCAAAUAACUUCUAAACCUUGGGAUGAUGGAAAUGGAGCUAAAACCUAAUAAAAGGAACCGUGAAUGGAUAGUAUGGACUCAUGUAUAUUAUCCAGAAAGUUGCAUGACCUUUUGUGGUACUCAGGUCACUAAAAAACGUGAGAUAAACAUCUAGGAUAAGAAAAGCAAAAAAGCAUAACCUAAUACGUAUUAUAUGAAUUGAAGGUGUCACUGAACGCUACCAACCUGCUUUGCCACUCUCCUUAUGAUUUCAUCAUUUGGUAAGGGCAUAUAAGGAUCUCCAGGCGUCAAAACGCAUCUGAAAGAUAAUAUGGUUAUAGUUAACAAAAUGGAAUACAAAGACACUUGGCAAAAGGAAGUCAAUCAGAUUCCAUGCACAAAAAAUAACUAAUAAUGACGAGGAUAAGAAAUUUUGCACACUGGUGCCUUCUCUAUAGUAGUCUUCUGGCGAAGUAAGUGCUAGAUCUGCAAAGCAAGAGAAAUCUGCAUCUGGAGUAUAUAAAAGGUUAUCUAACUCCACAGCUUGCCUCAAUUGCCUACAUGUUCAAAACAAGGAUCUAUUAAAAAAUGGAAAUUUCUUCAAUGAAUUAGUGAAGGUAAGUGAAGUGAAACCGGAUUUCUUAAGCCUUCACAGAGCAUCUUGUGUUUGAAUUCCGGUAACCUCAGAAAAGAUUAGAGCAUCACCUUGACCGUUCUAGGUCUUGCAACUCAGUAACCCAACCAUUGUAUCUAAGCUGCACUGUGACAACAUGAACUCCAACGAGCUCAUAAAUAUUGUUGAAAAAUUUCAUUUCCCUCCAGCCUCCACAAUGAUGAAAGCAAUCUUUUAAUUCCAGGGACAUCACAUGCUGCCAUUAAAUAAGAAGUUGAAUAAAGAAAAAUCGUUCAACUAAAUGAUUCAGGAGUUAAAACAAAAUGUAGAAGUAGAAAUAAAUAACGAAGAUUUAACCAUAAACCUGCAACAUUUGCAUCAGCUUGCACAACCUUCUUGUCAGUGGCCUGAAAUAGAAUGAGAACUUGAAAGACAGUAAGCAUAAAAGAAUAAACUCAAAGAAGCUGCUUCUUACAGAUGAUAUAAACAACAAAUUUACAAAUGUCAGGUCAUUGCAUUAGCUCCAUGCCUCCAUCAGAGGGAAUAUUAAUAGAUGCAUAAAAAAAUAAUUAGAGCCACAUGUGAAACAAUUUACCUUAGACAUGGCAAGUGCUUUAACAAAUGUUUCCCCGUUAGCAGAUUUAUCAUAAAGUAUCUCUCUGCAUCCCCACCUAAGAUGGAACCUGUUCUCACAAGAACAGAUCCCAAGGUUGGGAAAAUCAGUUCAUCAUAGGAGAAAACAAAUAUGAUUAACAAAUCGCUACAAUGGUGUGAACCCGUAAAUACAAACGUACCUGCCCCCUUUAUCUGUGAUAUAUUUUCUUAUGGGCCCACUCAAAUAUACAUCCGGAGAACCCUUGAGCAUCAGCAAUAGGGAAGCCUCGGUCUUAGUCGCAAAUAGUGCAAGUAUAGUAAGCAUACAAUGAGCACUGAUGUUAUCACAAUCAAUAAACCCAAGGGCAUACGCAACAGGAUCCCACAUUCUUUGGAUACUUGUCCGUGUACCACCCUUGGACAAAAACCAAUCAGAGAAGCUUAUGUGUAAGAAGAAAUGAAGUUUUAGGUAAAAUAACAAUUUGUAGGAACAGGGAUUGAAAUUCAACAAACAAGAAAAUAUGAUGUCAUUCUUACACUAUCCAAAUCUCAUAUGUCCUUCAAGGCUCCAUCAGGAUCAACAAGUGCCUUUACAACAGGACUCAGAGCAAGAGCAAGAGCAUUUCUUGCUUUAUCAUAAGUCUGCACUUGAGCAAUAUACCAGGCAAAGUACAUCAAAAGAGAAUCCAAAAGAGGCAAGAAGCUUCAACAUGAAAAAAGGAGUACUGCCUCAUCAUACUGCUUUGCAAUCACAGUGCAAAAGAUAACAUCAACAAAUCAAAAUCAAGCAAAAAUCCAUAUGCACUACCUUAAGCUGAUUUGUAGACAAAAGUGUGCGAAUCCCAUGUAACGGAGCUUCAAUCGGAAACCGGAAAUCAAGUUCUGGAGUUGAAAAUCAAAAUCAUGAACCAAAUCAGAGUUAUUAUUGAAUUUGACAAUCCAUAAACCAAUAGAAGGUGAUGUCAAACCAUCAAGCAUAACUACCCACCAAGCAUAACUAUUAGUAGUUUUAAGUGAUCAAGAAAUAACCAUACCACCAAUUUCACUACCCUUAUUUACAAAUGUAUGAGUAUGAUCCUUCAUGAGUAAGUUUUUGUCCGCACCUACCUGUCGAAAUGCUUGAAAAACUAUCAGAUCAUAAACACAGGCUCCAGUUAAAGAGGAUCUAUGACUCUGAUCCAUCAUGUUAUUUGAACAACAUUUUCGAAUUUUGGUACAACCCUAAGCUAUAAUCAGUUAUCAUCACUACAAAUGAUAUGGUCAAGAGGAAUGAUAGUUCUUGUUUCAAGUAUCUCAAAUCGUAAUUCUUUUGCAUGGCUUGUGUGCUUUUAUAAUCAUUCAAACACGCAUAUCCACAACUAAGCAAGCUUUACCAUUUUCAUCAAUCGGAAGAGAUUAUUGUAGCAUCCAAAGAAAAUGUGCAGACCCAUUUCAAUAUGGUUUUCAAGUUUAUCGACAAAUGAACCCACUUUACCACCAAUAAAAGACCUCGACUCAUAUAUAUCCACCUGGAAGAAAGGAAAAGUUAAAAAAAAAAAGUGUUGAGAAUUAUGUUUGAUUAAACUUAAUUCUUUCCCCAAGAAAUCUCCACACACUGAUCUUAUUGAAACAAGAAUGAAUACCCAAGAUAGUAAUCAGAAAUAAAGCAAGAGUGUUUAGACAGAAAUAGAGAUUAAAAGCAUAGAAUAAACUGGACACAAGGAGAAUUCUAGAGGUUCGGCUGGGUAGCCUACAUCCUCUUGAGAAACAGAAGCCGUAGCUUUUCUUUGAUGCUUAACAGAUUACAAGACUUAGAGAGUUUGUUACAAAGAACGUUGGUUAUCUAAACUUGGCCUUGGGGCCCUUAUAUACAGCUCUCGAAGGAUCCAGAUAAGUGUGCUGCUUGCCAGCUCUUGUUCUGGGUUUGUUGAAACAAACCCAGAAAGUUCCCGCCAAGGCUAACCAUUGAUAACAGCCUUUUAAUUAGAAACGACACUUGCUGCUGCCGUUUAACUAAAGCUUGAAUCCGUAGAUGCUCGAGCAAUUCACGUGCAUUACUUAAGCUAUUCGUGUGACAGGAUAUGGUUGUCAUAUGCGCAGCAUUAUCUGUCUGAUUGCUUUGUCGUUUCUUGAUUAAUACUAGACACGACAAAGUCAUCUUCUCCGUAAGCUCUUAAUUCAGGCUCACAAUUAACAAAAAGGAAAAAAAAUUCUUCUAAUUUCUUUCACCAUCAACAAAAUCAGAAAAACACAUACUAGUUCAAAAUAAAAUAAAGUUUGUGAAUUGAAAUAAUGCCAACUCCUAAGAAAAAUUAUGACUGCUGAUAUUUUUUCCGAAAUGCUGAUAAAAGCCUCUGCUAUUUACUUUGAAAAAAUUGAGGUUAGAAGCCAAUUUACUUGAAAUUUUGAGUUUAGGCAAGAGGAUGAAUGGUAAAAGUGAAACAUAUUAGGGAAAAAUGUACUUCAGAGGCCAAUGAAAGCAUUCAGAAGAUUGAAAACUAAAUGAGCAAAACCUCGUGGCCAUGAUCCAACAAUUCCACUGCUGUUGACAUGCCUGCAAGCCCAGCUCCAAUAAUAGCCACUUUCAGCUUUGGUCCUCUAUAAUGUUCCAGUUCUGGUGGAAACAAACCCUUGGGAGCUGCCAAGUAUACCAUCCAAUUAUCCACAGCGAUAAUGGAAAUAUAUAUGUGUUUGAAAGUACUAAAUUCCUAAACAGGAAAUGUAUCCAAAAAGAGACACAAAGCAGAAUUUCGUAAGCAUUUCAAUUCCCAAUAAAUUUCGAGAAUACAAAAUACUCGGUCUGUUCUUCAAUUCCUUUAAUAAAAUUUCCACUAGAGGCUACGCAAGCCACUCAAUAACACGCCAAAGCCAGAUUUUAAACGUUAUCUUUAUCUUUAACUCCAAUCCACAAACAAUUCUGCCAGAAAUUCAAUCCAAAAUUGUUCAAGUGCACCGCCAAUUCUCCAUCAAUUCCCUCAAAAAUUCAUAAUUGGCAAACAAUACAAACCAAAAAGAGCUUCCGGCAAUAAACGCAUAAAAAUCCACCAAGCAACAUAAAACAAAAUACCCAGAAACCAGAAAAGCCAAAAGAUCAAUGCUUGUGCAAACAAGCAAAUCAAAUAAAACAAAAAAAAGAGGAAUUUACCCUUAACGCUCAUAUCAGAAAUAUUAGUAUCCAAAGAAGCCCGUACACGGAAUCUUGGACCCUUCACUUGAACCCGAGACCAUGUAACGCCAGUAACUGAAGUUGCAGGAAACAGAACUGAAGAACCCAUAUUGCAAAUCCUGAGCUGAAAUCAAGAAUUUCAAUUGGAACUCAAUUCAGCUCAACCCAGCUGAGCUCUCUUUUGCUUCAAUAACAAAGUGUUUUUCUUUUAUAUCAACAAAGAUUUGUCAACAUCAACAAAAUUUAACUAAGAAACUAGAAUAAUAAAAGAGGGCACCUUUGAGUUUAAGAAUCUAACAGGAUGCUAAGGAAGAGAGUUUUGUCAGGGAACUGUUUCGGAGAGGUUGGCCAAGUGCUUUUUUGUUUUUUAUUUUUAUUUUUUUCUCAUUUUGGCCUUUUUCAUUAAUACACAACAUCAGUACUCGCGAAGAGCACAAAAUGUUGGUGACUUUGUCACUAACGAUAGUGGAUGGAGCGACCAAAGCAACCAACUAAAUUUUAAAGAGAGGGAAUGACAAGCAAUAUUUUAAUUGGGUGAUUAAUUAAUGUAUUAUCAAGCAAUUGCAUUUAUUUAUUUAAACGAUGUCCUUAUCUUUGGACAAGGUUGAGGAAAGACCGCGAUGUUGUGUUGUCACGUAUUUUUGGGCCGACCGUUUCCAGUUUCGGCUUAAAUGAGGCUUUUGUAUUUUUGUGCCGUUUUUUUACUGAGUAUUUUGUCCUAAAUUACACAAAGAAAAUGUGUAUUUGUUAAAAAAUCUGUUGAAACUCAGAACCUCUUAUGUGGACUUUAGAAUGCGACAGUAUUGAUAUCUAAGUUCGUAAUAUCAAGAGUGAUAAAACGGAUAAAUGAAUAGAAAUGUAAAUAAAUUUGGUUAAAAUUUAAUGGAUUCGAAUUCGGUAUGUUAUCAAACAAAUCAUAAUCUUAGGAUUUGGAUUCAAUUCAUUUAUUAAUUGGAUACCUAUUUAAUUUGUUUAUUAUACAAAAUUAAAUGAAUUGAAUUGAAUUGAAUUUAGAUUCAUUUACAAUUUGUUUAAUUUAUUUAUGUAAAAUUAAUAAAAAAUCAAUCAAAUGUGGAUUUGUUUAAAAAAUAAUAAUAAUUAAUAGCAAAAAUCAAGCAAAGUAAAAUAGAAAAAAAAUCAUAAAAUUAACAACCUACAAAAUAAAAACGAAUUAGUGACCGCAAACUUGAAUUCAAUUCAUUUAUUUAACGAAUUGAAUUGAAUUCACUUAUUUGUUAAUGAAUCAAUUUUUUUUAAAAUUCAGACCUAUUUAACUUGAAUCAAAUAAACACAUCCUAAUCUAAAUUGUCACCUCUAAAUAUGAUGGACCUAUUUAAAAUAUAUGAAUACCAAAAUGUGUGGGCUAAAAAGUGGUUUACCAUGCAACAAUACGAAGUUUAAGCUCUCUUUUCUUAUGUCAUCCAAGGCAUUGCCUGGAUCGCCAAACACUAGAGUUCAAGUCUACAAUAAAGAAUCGAAAUUUUUCUUUGUAAAUGUUCGUAAGUAUUUAGCAUAGAUUUUUAAGUUAUACUUGAUAGAUCCCCUACCAUAUUUGCUAUAAUAUUUCUCUUCUUUUAAUUUAAAAGUAAAUCAUAAUAACGGAUUUGUAAAGAAAUUAAAUUUCCAGUAAUUAACUGAAAAAAUAAAAAAGAUGGAUUAAGCGAAAGAAGUUAAUAUAGAGUAAAGUCGAGUACUUGACAAUUAAAGUAAUUUUACUCGAGGUUGAGUAAGGAUAGUAUGAUACUUUCCCAGGUUUUCCGAGGACAUUCAUGUAACAUUGGACUAUUGACUAUAGUUAGAGAGAAGUCCAAGGAUGUAAGUGAUGAUGAUAGAUUCACAAUUCUUUUGAAGAAAAUAUUUUAUAUAAACUUAAUUAUAUGGUAUAAAAUGAUUGGCCUUAAUAAAAUUAAAAAAUAAUAAAAAUAAUACACGCCUGGGUCAUGCAAUAUUUUCAACCAACUAAUUUACACGCAAAAUUAAACCUUAUGAGUGAGAACAUUAUGGUACAUUUAUAUGCUAGCAAAAACUCCGCAAAAAUUUUCCGAAAUGUGAAAAUGAACACUUUUAACAAUGACACAAAAUUCCCACCCCCCAUGAUUAAUUCUCUUAUCUGGAAUAUUAGGGGGAUUGGAAAAGCCCCUGCGGAAAUUAGUUCGAUUACAUCGAUUGUCUUUGAUUUGUGUGUUGGAGCCAUUUAUUUCCAUUGAUCGUUUAGAGGCUCUUCGGGUGCGGCUUGGGAUGGAUCAUGCUUUAUCUUCCCAAUCUGGGAAGAUUUGUGUUUCUGGUCCGCACCUUUCUCGGUGGAGCUUCUGCAUGACAUGGGCAAGGUGAUUCAUUGUCGGGUUAGUCACUCUUUUUUUCCUGAUCCUGUGUAAGUUUCAUAUGUGUACGCUAGUUGUUAUAUGGAUGUGCGAGAGAAUUUAUGGGAUGCUCUUAAGACCUUUGCGGAUAGUCAUGAUCUACCUUGGAUCGUGGGGGGAGAUUUUAAUAUGAUUCAGGCGGUCUCGGAGAUUUCUGGCGGGCAUCCACAUACUCGGGGAGCUAUUGAUGCCUUUAAUUUAGCGUUGCUUGAUUGUGGUUAGGAGGAUGCUGGCUUUGUUGGCAGUCCUUUUACUUGGACUAAUGGGCGCCCAUGGAGGCAGCUUGAUAGGGUGGUCUGCAACGCUCACUAGUAUGCUUUCUUCUCAGUAUUUCGGGUCUCUCAUCUGAAUCGUACUGCCUCAGAUCAUUCUCCUUUGCUUUUUCUUGGUGAUCGGGGCGCUGUUAGAGGACCUUCACGGUUUAAAUUUCUUCAUGUGUGGCUCAAGCAUCCAGGUUUUCUUGAUACUAUGCGGCAGUCUUGGGGUGCUCCGGUGGUUGGUUCUGGAAUGAGAGCCUUUCAACAGAAACUCACUCGGUUAAAGUUCUGCCUAAAAGCUUGGAACAAAGAUGUCUUUGGUAACGUUUUUUCUCAGGUCCAACAAGCAGAGGAGGACAUGGCUCAGAAGGAAAGAUUGUAUGAUAUUUCUGGCUCCGUCGAUUACAGAGCUAAUUUUUCCGAGGCCAGGGCCUGGUUGCAGCAUGCUUUGCUUCGUGAGGAGAUUUUUUUUACGUCAGCAGUCCAGUGUUCGAUGGGUUCGAGAGGGCGAUGCUAAUACCUGUUUUUUCCAUGCGAUGAUUCGGAAAAAGUGCCAGUUGUUUCAUAUUCACAGGAUUCGGGUUGAUUGUUUCUUAGAGUGGAUUUCUGAGCCCUCCGCCAUUGUAGAUUAUGAUGUCGAUUAUUUUCAAGAUUUAUUAACGGGAGAUGCCAGUCAGUUUCAGCAGACGGACUUCGAAGUUAUUCCAUCUCUUGUGUCUGUAGAGGAUGAUGUAGAGUUAUGUAGAGAGCCGGAUAUGGAUGAGAUUAGACAUGCGGUAUUUUCUAUUGAUCCAGAUAGUGCUCCUGGACCGGAUGGUUUUUGUAGCAGAUUCUAUCAGUCGUGUUGGGACAUCAUUUGCCGUGACUUGUUAAAUGUUGUCCUCGAUUAUUUUAGAGGUUCGGCAUGCCCAGAGGUUUCCAAAGUACUUUAUUGGUCUUUCUGCCUAAGAAGGCUUCUCCGGCUUCUUGGGCUGAUUUCCGUCCGAUUAGUCUUUGUAAUGUGAGCAACAAGGUCCUUACUAAGUUGCUUGUCCCAUCUCCUGCCUCACAUUAUUUCUCAUACUUAGAGUGGUUUUGUUCCUGGUCGAGUGAUUCAUGAUAACGUGCUCCUGGUUCAGGAGUUCGUUCACGAUCUCAAUCGCCAUAGUCGAGGGAACAAUGUGGUGCUGAAAUUAGAUAUGGCCAAGGCAUACGACGUAUGUCAUGGCCUUUUAUUAUUCAGAUGAUUCACUGUUUUGGGUUCUCGAAGCGUUGGAUUUCUUUGAUUCGGCGAGCGAUUUACGGUCCUUAGUUUUCAGUGCUUAUGAACGGGGUCAGUAACAUAUAUUUCUAGUCCCAGAGUGGUCUUUGGCAGGGUGAUCCCCUUUCCCCUUGCUUAUUUAUUAUUGCUGCAGAAUUUUUAUCUCGAGGCUUGGAUCAUUUGUAUUCUCAGUAUCCCUCUGUUCGGUAUUGUUAUACUGCACCUACUUCUAUCUCCCACUUGAGUUUUGCGGAUGGUAUUGUUAUUUUUGCAAAUGAGAGCCGAUCUAGCUUACAGUGGCUUGUGGAUUUCUUACACCAUUAUAAGGUGAUCUCAGGGCAGUUGAUUAGCGAGGACAAGAGUAACUUCUACAUUAGGAAGUCAGCUUCGACCUCCCGCUAGGCCAUUGUUCACUCUGUGACUAGCUUUCAGUGACGUCAGCUUCCGUUUACUAAUCUUGGGUGCCUGAUCUUUACAGGGUACCUCAAGAUCUCCUAUUUUGAUGACAUGGUCCGGAAGGUCAAGGAUAAGAUUUCUGGCUGGGCUAACCGUCUGCUUUCCUUUGGUGGGAACCUCGUCCUCAUUCGCCAUGUGUUAUCCUCUAUGGCCCUGCACUUAUUUCACGUCCUCCGCCCUUUUAUAACGGUAGUUUAACGCCUAGAGCGAUUGUUCACCCGAUUCCUAUGGGGUGAUUUUGAGGGAAGACACCAGAUCCACUAGUGUAGAUGGCCAAAGGUUUAUUAUCCAGUUGACGAGGGUGGCCUCGAUAUACGAUCUUUUGAUGAUAUGGCGGAGGCUUUUGAGAUUAAACUUUGGUGGCGGUUUUGUCAGCAGAGUUCCUAUAUGAAGUCUAAGUAUUGCAGAUCUACGCAACCAAGCCUUAUCCAGUUUCGCUAUCUUGCCUCUCCUUUAUGGAGACACCUUUAUAAGAUUCGUUGCACGGCUAAACCUCAUGUGCGUUGGCUCGUUGGGAGUGGAGAUUGUAGCUUCUGAUAUGAUUGUUGGCUGAGUUCUUGCCCUUUAUUUUUUUAUAACCCUACAGCGGCUUUGUCGGUGCCGGUCUAGUUCUUUGGCAGGGUACAAUCUGGGACAGAGGCAAACUAAGGGACGUCUUGCCUUCAUCUAUUGUUGAGCAGAUCCUAUUAGUGCCUAUUUCUAGUGGGAAUCCAGACCUGAUUCGUUAGGACCUUGCCCCCGACGACACGUUUAACUUGCGGACUGCUUGGGAGCUUGUACAGUGCUCUAGGUCGAGGGAUGAGCUUUUCUCGAUGAUUUAGUAGAGGCAUAUCCUGUCACGAGUUUCCUUUUUUCUCUGGCAGCUACUUCACGGAUUCCUAGCUACUGAUGAUGCCUUAUACUUGAGGGGUUUCUAUAUGGUUUCUCGAUGUAUUUGUGGGCGGGUUGCUGAGACUUCUCGGCAACUUUUUAUGGAUUGCCCGCGGGCCCGUCAUAUUUGGGUUCAUUGCCAGCGGAUCAUGGGGAUGCGUGAGCUUUAUUUUCUGUCUCCCCGUGCUUUGCUUUUAUUUUGGAGACAUUGUGCCCCUUCUCGGAAUCAUCAUCGGGUCCUUCUGCCUUACUUCAUUUUGUGGCAAAUUUGGAAGGCCCUAAAUGCUUUCCAGUUUCAUUCACAGUCUUUCUCCACUGAUGCGGUUAUCUUUCAGGUCGACUCUGAUCUCAGGCUCGCUAGUUCUGCUUUUGGAUUCAAGCCUCCCCAACUGAGGGGAGUCUUGGGUUCUCGUAUUGCGGAGGGCUUGCGAGUUAUGGCUCCCCCUAGGAGGUCGAUUCGUCUAGUUGCUUGGAUGAGGCCAACUUCAGGGGUGGCUAAGCUGACUGUGGAUGGUUGCUCUGGGGUCAACCUUGGGAUGGCUGCUUCCAGGGGUAUUCUUCGGGAUCACCGGGGCAUGGUUUUAGCGGCUUUUGGAUCCUUUUUGGGUUACAAGCCGAUCUUAUAUGCUGAGCUCAUGGCGGUGUGCGAGGGUUUGGAGCUUGCCAUUCAGCUUGGGUACUCAGUGCUCGAGGUUGAGUCAGACUCGGCUAUGGUGAUGUCAUGGAUUCACACCUCAGGGUCCUGUUCGAUGGGAAUGUUCUUAUUCUCUACGCCGGGUGUGCCGUCUGGUAACGUCAUUCCCCAUUCAGGUGAGACAUGUUCUUCGCGAGGCUACUUAUGCUGCUGAUUUUCUAGCCAACUGGGCGCGCACUCAUCGGACUAGCCGGUGUUUCUUAUCUCCUCGAGAGCUUCCCAAAGGCUUAUCUGGUAUUCUUUACUUAGAUCCCCACGCAAUCCCCCAUGUCAGAUGUUAGGAUUUUAUCUUUUUCUUAUAUCUCAUUUUCUCUAGGAGGUUUUGGCUUAUAUCCCCCUCCUUUAUAUCUAAUUCAUUUUCAGAUUUAUAUUAUAGGUAAGGGUUCCGCCUAGCUCCCACCACUCUGGUGGUUUUAAAAAAAAAAAAAAACAAUGGCAUAAAAUGCCUGUGAUAAUGAAACAAUGUGCCAUCCUUAAACUAAUAUCAUUACAAACUACAAGUGAAAGUUUUUGGAAAACAUUGAGAAGUUUUUCUCGGAAUUUGUUUUCUUCUUUGCUUUGAUUUAAGCGUAAAUUUUUAAAAUCCGUAACAAAACAAAAAUUUACAUGGGUUGGGCGCACCUUGUGGUUCGUGCAUGCUUUCGUCUAAUAGUAUUUGAUACAUACAAAUUCAUUUUAAAAUUGACGAAUCGUAAUAAAAAAAUUUAUAUAUAAUAAUUGAGUGAGAUCCAUGGUUCACAAUUGCAAAUUAAUGGUUGGUUUUAUAAUAAAAAUCUUUAUGUACAUACCAAAUUAGAAAAGGUUAUAAGUGAAUUAAGAUUUUCAAAAUUUGACUCGUAUUAUAUUAUGUACGUCAAUAUAAUAUAAAUUUGUUAUAUAUAUAUAUAUAUAUAUCCAAUGCUUUCAAAAACUUUAUACUUGUUUGAACAGAUUUUUUGCUUUCUAUUUGUAUACACAAACACUUUUUUAGGACACAUGUAUAAUUAAUCUUAAUAAUUCUUAUACAAUCCUCUAUUUAAGACCAGCAACGUCACCCAUUAUAAUUUAUCACUAAAUAUUGUAAAACUAUUGGUUUUCACGAAUAACUAAUAAAAAUUAUUUUUUUUGUAAGAAAAAUACUGCGAUUCCUUUCACUGUUGUAGUAGUAUAGUUAUCGUGGACGAUGAAUUUCUAGUAUUGUACAAUGAUAUUUAUGUUGAAUGUUUAGGGAAUGAAAUAGGGUGACCAAGAUAAAGGGGUUUGCUCAUACAUUAUCGUGCUCUCCUCAAAGCAAAAGUGAGCAAAUGGUUGAGCAGAUCAUCUCGACCAGAAUAAUAUGUGGUGACCUCGAGUACAGCACCUCGACCAGGAUGUUAUUGGUCACCUCGACCAGGAUGUUAUUGGUCACCUCGACUAGGAUGUUAUUGGUCACCUCGACCAGGAAGUCACCAGGAAGCACGUCAUCCGCGAGGCCAAUUUCCUGUAAGAAGCAUAAAGCCAUUCCUGCUGCAUUCUUGCUAAGGGUUGAUUCGAGGAGACCCGGUCAACGACAGUUGGCGAGGCAUGCUCUCCAGCCCGAGAAUCUAGGCACGAAGGCCACGCAACCACCCAUGACUACGGAAAUGGGGAAUCCACAUUCGAGAGGUGGGAGGACAACGGACAUAGACUGCGGAAAACUGGGAUUCAGAGGAAGCCUAUAAAAAGGUAGCCAACGAAGGUAAAAGGGUUAGCAAUUUUGAGAUUAGAAGAGAGCUAAAGAAAUUCUAAAGAAGAGAAAACUAUGAAAAAGCCAUAAGAUCUGUGGCAAGCGUUCCCCGAACCUUCAUAUCUGACUUGAGCGUCGGAGGGUUUGCGCCGGGAAAACAACCGGCGUACUCUGACUUGUCUGUGUGCGCAGGAACCUCUGGAGAAGAAGCCUUACGAGGAGACCUUCUGGUCGUGGUGAAGUUGAUCGAGCAGAGAUCCUGGUCGUAUAACGAGGAGAACCAGAAUCUCGCAUCAACAUUUUGGCGCUGUCUGUGGGGAAUGGUACAAAAAGCCAGCUUGUUAUCUUUAUCAAUCUUCAUCUGGCCGAAGUGAAGGCAGAAUAUUGCGGUGCAUAAAUGGAUGAGCUUGCUUAAACAAGGAAGCAAAAACCUUAAAGGAGAGCACAUUGAAAGCACACGUUUGUAAAAAUCAGAACAGGUCAGAAGUUAAAUUCUUAUUUACAAGCAAUUUUUUCAUGAAAAUUUAAUUAUUUCUCUAAAUCCUGCUAUGUGAGAUGAGGAGCCCUUAUAUUCAUUAAAUUGAUUGUGCUCAUAUUAAGGCUGACUGUAUAACUUAGUUAACUUGAUUUCUUGAAAGCUAUUCAAUAUGAGAAUGAUUUAAGAAAAUAGAGCUAGGCUAGCGUUGAGAAACCAAUCAAAGCUUACUAAUAAGGCAUGCAAAGGCUCCAAAGUCUCAAAGCCUGUCUUAUGGCGAGACAGAAGCCAAGCGUGCCAGGAUCUGCUCGACCACGAGAAGGCGAGUAGAAUCCCAAUCCUUGAAGAAUUUGAAGGCAUGCAAAGGCUCACCAAGUCUCAAAGCAUGUCUUAUGGCGAGACAGAAGCCAAGCGUGCCAGGAUCUGCUCGACCACGAGAAGGCGAGCAGAAUCUCAAUCCUUGAAGAAUUAAAGGCACGCAAAGGCUCAUCAAAGUCUCAAAGCCUGUCUUAUGGCGAGACCAGAAGCCAAGCGUGCUAGGAUCUGCUCAACCAAGCGAAGGCAAGCAGACUCCCAAAUGUUGUAAAAAUUCCUAAGGCAUGCAAAGGCUCACCAAAGUCUCAAAGUCUGUUUAUGGCGAGACCAGAAGCCAAGCGUGCCAGGAUCUGCUCAACUAAGCGAAGACGAGCAGACCACCAAACUUUCAAAAAAUUCCUAGGGCGUGCAAAGGCUCCAAAGUCUCAAAGCCUGUUUUAUGGCGAGACAGAAAGCCAAGCAUACCAGGAUCUGCUCAACCAAGCGAAGACGAGCAGACCACUAAAGUUUCCAGUCUUGAUUCGUUUCACUCUCAAUACUAGAAACUGGGGGACUGGUGUUUAGGGAAUGAAAUAGGGUGACCAAGAUAAAUGGGUUUGCUCAUACAUUAUCGUGCUCUCCUCAAAGUAAAAGUGAGCAAAUGGUUGAGCAGAUCAUCUCGACCAGAAUAAUAUGUGGUGACCUCGAGUACAGCACCUCGACCAGGAUGUUAUUGGUCACCUCGACCAGGAAGUCACCAGGAAGCACGUCAUCCGCGAGGCCAAUUUCCUGUAAGAAGCAUAAAGCCAUUCCUGCUGCAUUCUUGCUAAGGGUUGAUUCGAGGAGACCCGGUCAACGACAGUUGGCGAGGCAUGCUCUCCAGCCCGAGAAUCUAGGCACGAAGGCCACGCAACCACCCACGACUACGGAAAUGGGGAAUCCACGUUCGAGAGGUGGGAGGACAACGGACAUAGACUGCGGAAAACUGGGAUUCAGAGGAAGCCUAUAAAAAGGUAGCCAACGAAGGUAAAAGGGUUAGCAAUUUUGAGAUUAGAAGAGAGCUAAAGAAAUUCUAAAGAAGAGAAAACUACGAAAAAGCCAUAAGAUCUGUGGCAAGCGUUCCCCGAACCUUCAUAUCUGACUUGAGCGUCGGAGGGUUUGCGCCGGGAAAACAACCGGCGUACUCUGACUUGUCUGUGUGCGCAAGAACCUCUGGAGAAGAAGCCUUACGAGGAGACCUUCUGGUCGUGGUGAAGUUGAUCGAGCAGAGAUACUGGUCGUAUAACGAGGAGAACCAGAAUCUCGCAUCAACAUUGAAUAUAACGCUUCAAUGAAUUUUAUUACUAUAUACUAAAAUACUCAACGAUCUUCAUUAAAAAAAAAAAAAUUGCAUGAUUAGAAUGAUUAAAGUUCAUCUAAUGACUAGUUUCAUCAUUGACUCUGUCGAAACACAGCAGCAAUCCAGAAUACAUUUAACACGAGAGGCGCAGACAAACAUGCAUGAUGAAUCUUCCACCAUUAAACCUGAAAUCAUAAAAUGAAAGAAACCAGAUGAGUGUUGUUUGUCUGAAAGCCGAUUCGAGAAAAAUAAUAAUAAUAAUAGACCUUUGUUAAUAAUUAAUACUAGUUGUCACUACCUUGUGCAUCUUCCUCCUCUGUAUCAUCGUCCUCUUCCAAUCACACCGCAAGACCAGUAUAUCUCGAGAAUCUUUACUGCCUUCUCACAGAUCCCAUUGCUGUCAUGUCUUUUUAGAUCUUCAAUCAUUUUGAAUCCCUCAGCCGCCUCCACCAACCGUGCAUAAUGAUUAAAAUAUCUAUUGGCGGUACCCGUAUUCAUUUCAGCUUCCCCGACCUUCAAAAUGUUCUCUAAUCCUUUUAAGCAAAUAGUGACGAUCUCUGGAUCAGCGUAUAGAAGGAGAUCACACAAUGGUUUUAUACACCCCUUUCUCACGAGGUACUUGAUUUGCUCAUGAGUACCACCUGAGAUGGCAUUUGAAAUUGCCCGAGCGGCCUCCUUCUUUGUAAAAAAUUCAGCAUUUUGAAGCAGAUCGACAAGGGGACCAAUUACGCCAGCAUCAAUUACCACCUGAAUCUGUUCCCUGUUACCAGCUGUAAUAUUUGAAAUAGUCCUGCAUGCCUCUUUCGCAAUGCCUGUACACUGAGUCAGGAAACCAUCUCCCUUCACAAUAUAUCUGACAGUCCACAGGGGAGGAGUGAGCCCGAAGGGGAAGGGUAAUGGAUGAAGAAGGAGCUUAACAAGUCGUGGACAGACAUCUGCCUCGAUCACAGCUUGAAUUUUGUCAUUCGUACCAUCAGAUAGACAGGAUAGUGCCUCGCAGGCAUAUCUCAAGACAUCGUUGUCAUUUGAAUGAACAAGUUGUGCAAGCGCAGGAAGAGCUGGCCUCACCUGAUCAAAUGGUGGCUCUGGCUUGCCCUGGCAAAAACGAGACAAUGUCUUUGUGGCAUUUCUUAGCAUUGAAGGCUUAGCAUGCUUAUUUAACUGUGCCAGCAACGGAAUCAAAGCUUUUUCACUGAGCACAAGAUCACGGUCUCUAGGUGAGCUACGAGCAAUAUUUCCCAGUGCCCAAACAGCCUUCUCUCGGACAUCAUCACUUGGAGAAGAAAGUAGCUUCACAAAUAUUGGAACAGCACCGCCGUCGAUCACCACAUUAGUAUUCUCAGAAGCAAUGUUUGUAAGAGCCCGAGCAGCUUCCAACUGAAGCUGCGGAUUGUCUUCCCUAGUAAGAAACUCAACAAAGCGCGCGACAACGCCAGAUUGUAUGACUUUCUCACUUGGUGGUAGGAGCAGUUUUCGGAACCAAGUAGUUGCUUCCAGCUGCAAGCCACUGUCAUCUGACCAAACCCCAGCAAGCAUCCCGGGUAAACUCACCAACUUAUUUUAGGAGCAGGAGCAGGAGGAGGAAAUUAAGUUAGGGAUUUAGAGUGAGAGUGAAGGUGGAGAAAAAGCAAGAGAGGGAAAAAGCUUAUUGUUGAGAAAUAUGUACCUUUUGUAUGGUUGUGUUAAGGUCGUCCUUCCAAGCCCAACAUGCUUCACCAUGCCGCUCCACUUUGUGUAAUUUGGGUGUACUUAAUUUUCCUUCAGAGAAAAUCUUCAUAUCGGGGCAAUCAUCCACCACUAAUCUUUCUAAAGAUGGGAACUUGAAAGCACAAUUGCCAGAGCAGAAGCUUGUCAGGCUUUCUAAGUCUACAAGCUUCAACUCCUUCAAUUCUCUGAAAGUAAUAACCUCAUCUUUUGCUACAACAUCAUCCCCCAGUACUAUUUCUGUUAUCCUAUCGCAUGAUUUUAUCUUCAUAUAUCUAAGUUGCACCAGAGUCUUUGCAAUUAAGGAUGUUAAUACGAUUUUCAAGUUGUUGCAACGCGAUACCACCAUAUUUGUAAGAUUCUGAAAGGAUGUCGACGGUGGCACUAGAUUGACUAAAUGGUCACACCCCUUUACACGUAGAAUAACCAAGUUGUUCGUAACAGAGGACUCCCUUAUCAAAAUGUGCUCCAGAUGAAAUGCUUCUCUUAUUUCUACCCACAUCCCAUUUUCAACCUUCUCAUACGGCAACGAGGCACUAUAUCCUCCUAUUUGGAGGACUUUCAUUGUGUGAAGUCUCUGGAGGAAGUCACCAAGUGAUAAAAUAGUCCGCUCAUCACCCAACGCCACAAAAAGAUAUUUUAGUUUGCAAAGCAAGCCUUCAGAAAAUAGAUAUUUAUUUGUUACUGUGUACUUUGCACGAACUAUCAACUUUUCCAAAUUAGGGAAUACCUGGGAGAACGAUCAGAACCCCAAAAAAAAGAAAAAAAAGAAAUACAAGAUGAAUCAAUUGAUAAGAAAUAUAAGUUGCCACUAAUUUAUACAAUAUAUUUUAUUCAAUAAAUCUUAACCUUUAAAAAAAAAUAGUAAUAAUAGUAUGCCUAACAUCUAGAAUAAUUAUGAAUGAAUACUAUACACUAAUCUGUAAGAGAGUUACGUUGCUGACAAUUUGAGUUUUAGUAAGAAACCAAGCGAUGAAGGCAAAGGCAAUAUAACUCUAAACUCUAUGAUAUAAACUCUCACAGUACAUACAUAAGAAUUGAAAAAUUGAUUAUAAAAUUCUUGUACGUACCCUUUCCGUGAAGAUACUAGUAGUUCUCACCAUGAAUUCAGGACAUUUAGAUAUCCGUAAUUCUUUCAAGGAUGGAAAUUCAAGAAUAUCAAGAUCUCCAGUGCAGAAGCUUGUGAACUUUUCAAGAUCAGACAUCUUCAGAUAUUGCAACUGAGGAAACAUUACAAUAUUUUUCUUCCUUUCUUCUUGGUUGUCCAUAACUAUUAACUCUUCCAAGACAGGACAUCCGACUAUCUCAAUGCAUUGGAGUUGAACAAAGCUACUAACGGUAGAAGAUGAAAAUAGACAUCUUAAAUUCAUACAGCAGGACAGGGUCAAGCGCGUUAAAUUCUGAAUACCACAAGACAUGACUGCAACUUGGUUUUGCCAAAUCCUUUCAACAUUUAUUGAAAGCAAAUGCAACUUCUCUAACUCUGGUAACCGAACCUGCUCGAUCAAAAAAUUAACUCGUUAAUUACAAGCAACAAUGAUUUCUGUUGAUGGACAAAUCAAUAAAAUUACUCUUUCUCUGGUUAUAGUUCUUUUCAGUUUUUCAUACAAACAACCGUUAAUCAAGUUUUCCAAAUUAUUCCUUACUAAAUGUAUAGAUUUAGACGGCGGCUAAUAUAAUUCAUAUUGCAAAUAUUCUUUGAUUGUAACGAAUUUUGUAAUAUUAAAUUUUGGCUGAUUCGCAAUAGGACCUACUAUCCAGCGCGAGCAGUUCUCGUGGAUUUAACUACUGGCACCUCGAUUAUAUAAAAAUUUGGAAUAUUUUCAAAGGAAAUCACAUAAUUUCCCCUUGCAAAUAGUAAUUAUCAUUAAUUGCCGCGGGUUGACAUAUAAUUCUAAGAAAUUAGGCGAGAAGAGUCUCAUCAACAAUCAAUCAGCAGAUAUCACGUUUGGCAGAUCAUCAUGAUUUCCUCAUAUGCUAGAGAAUCAACGUGAUUUCCGCUCAUGCAGGAGCAGGAGUGGACACAUUAUCUUAGAGCAUCCCUCACUGAGAUCUUUUAAAAAAUUUAUAUUAUAAAGUGAACAACAUAUUAAGUAUAGAUUUAGACGGCGGCUAAUAUAAGUUAUAUGUAUUCUAAUGACGUAUAUUAAAGAAAAUGACUAACCAUAAUUUCAAUCAACUUAUUAGUCUAUAUAUAUAUAUAUAUAUAUAUAUAUAUAUAUAAUAUAAUAUAUUCAGUGAUUACAACAUAUUUAGUAUUCCAUAACAUGAAGUUUAUAAUAAUAAUUAUUAUUAAUUCACUUAUUGUGUCAAGAACAUUUUCUUUCUCUAAGAAUGAAUUUGUUACACCCUACUAUACUACGGAUGAAAAAUUUAGAAUCAUUAUGAAAUAUAAUUAUUAAUCACUCUUUGCCAUAUUUGCGACCAAAGAAGAAUAUAACAAAGAAAAGAAACAAAAAUUAUAGAGAAUUAAUGAGACCAUUGACGUAUUAAUAACUGACCUUCCCAGUGAAACGCGUAUUAGAAAUUUGGAUAUUGUCCUCCAAAAUGAUUUGAUGUGACUGCAAAUCAUUAGCUGAUUCCUGUUGUCUCUGUUGACAUUGAGUGUAAACUUAAUUGUGAGCACAAUCUUAAUGCAUAGAUACAAGAUCUUUAAAAAUUAGUAUAAUAAACUUAGCACAAAAUCCAAAUUUGAUAUUUCGGAUUCCAUGAUUAAGAUUUUUUAAAUAAAAAUUUAAUAGAGUUAAUUUAAAAAUAAAAAUUAAAUAUGAAAAAUUAGAUUUGCAAUUAUGGAUUUAAUUUUGAUAAAUAAUGAAUGUUCUCUUUAUAUUUUUUUUUAAAGGUAAAACAGCGUACAAAGCCCAAAUUCAUUUUUUUAGUCCCUUACUCUCCCAUGAUUCAAACUUGGGUGGUUGUAGGGGGACUGAAAAUAUAUAAGACAGUUAACUUCACUUUUUUUUUUUUUUUUUUGAGAGAAAAGAGAAGAAGGAUAUUACAAAGCACGAAGCUCGUGCAAUAUAAGGGCAAUUAUGGUUUUUUCUUUAAAUUAAAAUGGUAAGAUUCUGAAGCUAAAAGAUUAAAAUAUUAAUUAAAUUGCAAACAUUAAAGAUUUUUUUUCCAAAAUUGGUUGCUUUGAAAAUGAGAAUAAUAUAAUGUUUGAAGACUUUUCAAAAUUAAUUACUGUGAUGCACUAGAAAUUUCUAGCUUUAGUCUAAUGUAUAAAUUGACAAAACGUAUUAGAAUCCCAGGUGAAAAGAACCCUCUCACACCAAUUAUUUAAAUUAGGAAUGAUCAUACCUGUGGCUCUGCCGAACUGAGGGCGAGGCCUGAACCCCUCAUCUCGAGACGCUUGAGAUGGGAAGAGCCCACUUUGACUAAUUCAUUACGAAAAUAAUCGACAUCUUGCUCUUGCAAUCCACAUAACUCUAGGUCUUCAAUUCUCUGCAGUUGCACGACUAGCGAAUCCUUCAAGCGAAUCUGGUCAUAUAGCUCGAGUCUGAAUUCACGACCCCAAAUGCCGGUGCUCCCCCAAAACCGACCUCCAAUGCUUAUUCUGUACCUUUCCAGCUUCUCCAAGAACAGGCCUCUGGGCAGAGUGCUGACGUCAUGGGUGUCUAAUUCCAAAGAGGUCAAGUUGGGCAAAUGCUUCAACUCCUCAAGGCUUGCAUUCUUAACCCCUUCCACCUCCACCUCCCAAUUAUGAAAGCUUUUAGGACCUAUAUAUAGUUCUUCUAAAUGGGAUAAUUUUGACAGUAUAUUUG